AGCAAUGACAAUCCACAUCUCGUGUUCGGCUCAAAAUGAGCUUGAGACUACCGAUGACACGUUUAAUAGACGAGCCGAACACAAGCUUAAUUUUUUAGCUCGAAAUCUUAACAAAUCGGACACGAGUUAGAAUCAGUUCGCUCAUAUUUCGGCUCAAUAUAGCUCGAUAUAGAUAUUACAAAUUUUUACUAUUUAGAUUCUAGUCCAAUUCAAAUGUAAAGAGAUCUAUAUUUUAGUUUUUUAUUUUAUUUUUUUCAAUUUUUCAUGCAGUAGGAGGGAUGAGGGUCUAACAUGCUGUUUGCAACUUUUUAUAUCGUUAAAUGAGAAAAUGACUUUUAUCGAGCGUUAAAAUUAUAAAACUUUACAACUUUUUAAUCAUUAGGUCAACGAUGCUCAAAACGUGUGAAAUUUAGUUUUCAGAUAUUUUAAAUAAUCGAAAUUAUAUUCAAUAAUGUCAAUCGUUGAUUUUGAAGCUCUGUCAUUGAAAAUAAAUUAGUAGCAGUGGAACUUAUUUGCUACUAACAGUAUUCUGGUUAAAUUUACAUGAUAAAUUACUUUGUACGCAAAAUAUAUAUAUGUUCUCAAAUUUUUGAUCAUAUAAAUUUUUUUUUAUUUAAAGCAGUUGGCUAAGAAUUUAAUUAUUGACAUCUAAAAUUUGAGAACAUAUAUAUAUUUUGCGUACAAAGUAAUUUAUCAUGUAAAUUUAACCAGAAUACUGUUANGCAAAAUAUAUAUAUGUUCUCAAAUUUUUGAUCAUAUAAAUUUUUUUUUAUUUAAAGCAGUUGGCUAAGAAUUUAAUUAUUGACAUCUAAAAUUUUAAUUCCGAAAUAUAACUAUUUCACAUUUCUAGUUGAAAUUAUGAGUGGUGUAAAGUUUUUAUUUUUUAUUUUUUUUAAUUAUUAUUUGUUUUACUCCUAUGGGUUUCACAGGGAUAAGGAUCCGCAACCCCAAUGGAAUAUUCGUAUCCAAUUAUUCCAUGUAAAAUGAAUAAACUUACACAUACUCAACAACUUGUUUUAAAAAGUUUUUAUGCAUAUCUUUAUGGACCCCUUCAACACUACAAUCUACGAAUUUUAGCAAUUUUAAAAAAAAGCUACAAAUUUGACUCACAGCUUAAAUUUUAUAUUCCACGGUUUAAGUAUUGCUAUAUAGAGUGGGACUACAAUACUCUUAUGAGUAUAGAGCCCUUCGUAUUCAUAAAUUAUUUUGUCAUUAUCUCACUAGAGCCAGCUAUAUAGGAUAAUUAUUAAAUUCAGAUAUAAAAAAAAUAAAUUUACAGAUAAAGUUAUCUAUAUGCGCAAUAUAAUCAUAUAAAUUUAAUAAAUUGCUCACUAAAUCAUCAAUUUUGAUAGUAUUCGCAAAGCAGGAGAUAUGCUUUCUCUAAAUUUUUUAAUUUAUUUCUUGAGGUGUAAAUUAGAUAUAUGUUGAGAUAUAAAAUAAUGUGAUAUGUCAAUUUAUUUUAAUAAAAUUUUUCAGCUGAUUUGUUAUUUUUUUAUUAUUUUUUGGAUUUAUUUGAGAUUAUGAUAAAAUGCAUAGGGAUAAUUGAAGUAAUGUUAAAUACAAGAAAGCAAUUGAGACUCGGUCAAAAAUGUAAGGUAGUUUUUUGUUUAUAAUUUAGCCGAUACAAAUAAAUAACUCUAUAGUAUAGAUAGUAGUGUAGUAAUCCUUUCGAUGCGACAGCUAGAUAAUUAGAGAAAAAAUAAAAAAUGGCAACAAAGAAAGAAAAAACUGCGAUAAAAAAAGUGACGAUGAGGGGCGGGAUUCAUCUUGCCGAUAAAGGAAGGUAAGAGCCGAAGAAAGUGGAAGAGGAACAGUUCGGCUCAAUGCAGAGAUAUGAUCCGGUUCAGUUCAAUCAAAAAAAGAAAAACAAAUCCGGGUUGGUUUAAGAAAAGAAAGAGAAAAAUAUGUGGAGGAUUUAAGACGGUUCGGAAGAGCCCAUACUCAAUAAUAAUUGGUUCAGUUCAAGCAAAGAAAGAUAAAAAUAUGUUAGGCAUUUAAGCCGGUUCGGAAUAAAGCCCACAUCCAACAAUAACGGUAAUGUUGCCCAAUGACAAAUUUAGGGAGAAUAAUGUAAAGAUAUAGAUAUAGAUAUAAAUUUGUAUUUCUACAAAUGGAUACACUCCAAGCCAAAAUUAAAAUAUAAAAAAUAAAAAAAAGGAAAAAAAUAAAAUAGAAAGAGGGAAUGAGAGAGGGUCCAAUACUGGGUGUGUCUAUCCAAUGGAUUCUUGUUGCCACUUGUCCAAAACAAUGUCCAGAGAUAUCACAAGUGGCUUUUUAUUUAGGGGCUCAAAAGCACUACAACAGGAGUUGCAGGUUUUUACUACUUCCACAAUCACUCAACAUAAAAGAUAAAAGAAAGAAUUAAAUUUAAACUGCACAAAAAGUGCUCAACCACAUCUGCCAUGCUGUGGUAUGAGUACGUUAAUGUGUUACAUGCAGAUUGACUUGAGAUAAACAAAUAGAUAUUUUGACGGACGUACAGGAUACAUUAAAUAAUUUGUUUGAACUGUUCAACCAUUCAUAAUUUUUUCAUUAAUUUAUUUGUAAACUUUAAAUGUUUACUAGUCACAUAAAUUUCUCUACUUUUUGCUAAAAGAUUUUUUUUAAAAAAAAGUCAAAUCUUAUGCUACAGUGGAAAGUAAAAUAAAAUACUAUAUGGGCAUGUGACUGUGCGAUCGCACAAAGUUUUCUCAAAAAGGCGCACAAUGCGAUCGCGCAGCCAAAUUCACCCUAACUCUGAAAACAAAAUCUCUAACUUUUUUAAAAUUUUAUUAUAAUAAAAAAGCUAUCAAGAGUAUACUAACACGAACAAUUUAUCUUCGAAUUUUUCUGACAAUAUUAUAAGAUAUAGCACUUGAUGAAAUAUUAUCUAUGACGGUUCGAAUAGUAAUAUAGAGCAUAUAAAAGAACUGAGCUCCGAUGCUUUUAAAAAUACUAAGUCAUUGAUACUUAUAGAUUUUCGAUUCUUGGAUGAAGGAAUUUGUGGCUAGGAUAGUGGUUCUCUAUGGUUGAGUGGAUGAUUGAUUAAAUAGUAUGAUCUAACGGAUUGAAAUAGUGAAAAGGAUAAAUUUAACAGUAAAAAAUACGAUACGCCUAGUAUUAUUAGAAGCGUCUUAGUCGCUAUAUAUAUAUAAAAGUUCCCCAAUCUUAUUAAUCAAUCAUCAGCAUGAAUCACGUGAAAGAUAACAAUUUUUAUGCGGCAGAGAGUCCACUGGAACCCUCUUACUGAGAUUUGUGGCUUUUCCAAGAAGCAAAGGUAGAAAAACAUGUAUAGGUAGUACCAAUCCCUUUCAUCUUACCUUCCAGAGAUGAUUGGUUAGAAGAAAUACAUUUAUUAUGGCUAAAUUAUAAAAAACUUUCUAUAAAUACUUUUUUUUAUUUUUUAUUUUACUUUAUCUCUUUAAUAAUUUAAAUUGUUGUAUUUAACCCCCCUCUGUCACGGUUCCAUUAUUUUUUCGUUCAUUUAUUAUAACUAGUCAUAGUGUACGUGUAAUGCACAUCACAUUAAAUCAAAUAAAAUUUAUAUUUAUAUUUUAAAUUUAAAUAGUUAUUGGUGGUAUGAGUCUAUUUAUCAAAUUUUAACUUUAAUUUAUCUUCGGAUAAGUUUUAUAUAUUUUAAAUUUAGUUACACUAUAAAUACUUUUCAUAUUUAUUUUAUAAUAAUAUACAAUUAUUUUUAACAUAUAUACAAAUUUUAAAAUUUGAAUUAAUUCUAAAUUUUAAGUUAAUAAAUUCACAUUAAAAUUUUUGAACAAAAUUUAAAAUUUAAAAUUAAUUUUGACAAUGUGCUAGCGCCGGUGAUGUCGAGGUGACAAUGUGCCGGCGCCGGUGAUGUUGAUGAGGAGAACGAUGACGAUGCGCCGGUGCCGGCAACGGGGACAAAUGAAAAAAGAUAUUACUAAAAAAUAUUUGGAAUAUUUGAGAAAAAUAUAGAUGAAAAUGAAAAAAAUAUAUUACUAACAAAAUAUAUAUUUUAUAUUUGAUAAAUGUAUAAAUGUAAAUGAGAAAAUACUAAAAAAAAAUAUGCUAAAAUAGUAUAAAAGCAUAUUAAAAAAAAUAGUUUAGAUCAAAAUACCUUUCCAAAUGUGGCAAAGGUGGCGAAUGCGACAAUAUGCCGUCGUUGGCGAUGACGAUGACGAUAUGCCGGUGCCAAUGUAUAAAUGUAAAUGAGAAAAUACUAAAAAAUAGAUAUACUAAAAUAGUAUAAAAGCAUAUUAAAAAAAAUUCAGUUUAGAUCAAAAUGCCUCUCCAAAUGUGGCAAAGGUGGCGAAGGCGACAACAUGCCGGUGUCGGCGAUGACGAUGACGAUAUGCCGGUGCUAGCGACGGGGACUAAUGAGAAAGGAUAUUAGUAAAAAAAAUAUUUGACAAUAUUUGAAAAAAAUACAGGUGAAAAUGAAAAAAGAUAUUACUAAAAAUAAUAUACUGAUGAUUUGCGCAAUUAAUGUGAGAGAUAAAAAGUCAUGAAGAUGCACACUUAUUAGCAUUUAAAAAUCUUAAAAAGUAAAACAAAGUAUACGAAAGACGAAUUGGGUAGGAAAUUAUAUUAUGACACAUUAAAAUGAAUUAGGUGUAGCAAAAUACCUUUCUAACUGUGGCGAAGGUGAUCGAGAACGACGAUGAGGAAUGAAUAAAAUAUUACUAAAAUAAUAUAUUUGAGAAAACAUAUAGUGAAAAUGAAAAAGGUUAUAUUUUAUUAUAUUUAAGAAACGUAUAGAUAGAGAUGAGAAAGUAUUAAAAUAAGAUAUAUUUUAUGUAUGGAUAAGUAUUAUGAUGAGAUAAAAAUUAUGUAUGGAUAAGUAUUAAGAUAUUUUCUAUAUAAUUAAAAUUUUAAUUAUGUUUAAUUUUAAAAUUUAAAAUUUAAUUUCGAUCCACUUUAAGUUUGUAAAUUCAAAAAUUUUAAAAUUUUUAAACUUAAUUUUGAUUCCACUUAAGAUUUAAAUUCAAAUACGUGGGUAGUGAAGAUAUUAUAUAUUUUUGAGAAAUCAAAAAUUUAAUGAAUAUUUAAAAUAAAUGGUUAAAAUUUCUGACGAUGAAAAAAUUAGUAAAAAAUAGAGACAUUUCGGAAAGAAAUUCAUGUUUUAUUCAAAAUUUCAAAAUUUUAAUUUAUCUACUUUAAGAUUUAAGUUUAAAUGCGAAGAUAAUGGAGAUAAAAAAACUUCUGAGAAACGAAAGAAAAAAGAUUAAAAUUUUGAUUAGAUAUUUGAAAAAUGCGUGGAUAUUAUGUGUGAGAAAGGUUAACGGUAUAUUAUGUAGAUAGUUUUUUUUUUUUUUUUUAUUUUAUAGAAGAUAGGUAGCACGCUAUCGCUUCGUUUAUUUCAUUUAGAAUGAAACUUAGCUAGAAAUGUGAAUCAACUAGGGUUCGAACUUGGGUCUCGGGUACCAACCGUCAAGCUCUUUGCCACUUGCUCUAGGGACGGUCGGUAUAUUAUGUAGAUAGUUGACGUAUAUGAUAGGUAGAUUAAUAAGAUAUUUGAAAAUUUUAUAAAUAUUACGUUGAGAAUGGAUUGACGGGUACGUAUAUUAUGCGUUAGAAGAAAAAUAUUUAAGAAACGCGUAGAUAGAAAAUAUGAUAUAAAUGUAAAGGUAUUAUUGUCACAAAAAGUGACAAAUACUUUUAUUUUCAAUUAUUAGAUAAGAUCUAAUGACAAAAAAUUAAUAUCUUUAUUUGAGAAUAAAUUAUUAUUUAGUAAAUUAUUUAAAAUAUUUGGUAAAAAAUUACUGAACAUAAAAAUAUUAGUAAAAAAAAUAAAAGUAUUUUUUAAAAAAAAAAAAUUUAAAACUCACGCUUUUAUAAGUAAUAUAGAUAUAGCCCACUAAAAUACGCAGGUAACUCCACUAGAUUAUCGAUACAGAAAGAAAUGGUGGGUGUUGGUUUCUCCUACACACCACACCACACCACACCAAAAUAUACCACACCCAUUGUAAAGCAGUUGGGUUUGGGACAGAGACAGGUAAGGUGAGGUAUCCUCCGCCUCUUCCCUCUCCCCACAACCCACCCAACUCCCAUUCUAUUCUAUGGAUAACGAGGAGAUAUAGAUAGUCCCCUUUUCUCCUCCCCACCAUCUCCAUUCAUUCAUGGCCCCUCCCCCAUUGCUGUGCACUUUGUAGCACCCCUGAAACCAAGCAAAAGAGGAGCUUUUUCCCACAAGCGCUUCUGGGCUCUUCUUCUCCUCCUCCUCUGCUCUAAAGGAGGGGGGAAACAUGGCCGUGGCCGUCGCCGUGGCUUCUGGGAGCCGCGGGAUUUGCUCCGGGCUGAAGCAGGUGGACAACAAUGGCGUGGCGCCCCUCAAGUGCUGCGCUUACAGGGGAUUGCGCUCCUGCGUCGUCCCGGUUUCGGCCAAGGCCAGGUUGGGGGUUUGCUCAAAAUUUGAUCUUUUUUGGUACUUUUGGUUGAGUUUGGAUUGUUGGUGAUUUGGAUUCCUAAUCUUUUGGAUACUGUAGCAAGUUUCUGUCUACUGGAUUGAUUUGAAUUGCUUAUUUAGAUAUCUGGGGUUCCGAUUUCGUCGAAGGUGAGAUUGGGGUAUUUGAUCUUUUUUGGUCUGUGGUUGAGCUUGGAUCCGACAUAUUGAUGGAAUGAUAAGUUUCUGUUGUUACUGAUUUGAUUUGAAUUGCUGUUGAGCAAUUUGGAUUCCUUCUUCUGGGAAUACACCUUUCACUGAGGCAGAAACAGUAGUAAUCUAUUUUACCCUGUUAAUCAAUAUCUUAAAUUUGAUGUUUCAAUUGUUCAUUAGGUUCUGUUUGUGACCUGAUCAUGUCUUAGGCUGAAUUAACAAAUCAUAAUUAGUAAAUAAACUAUUUCCCCCUUUCUUAUGAGAUAUUGUCCCUCAGAUCCAUUUUGCUUAACUGUUAAAAUGUAGAUUAUUUGUUUGUUCUUCUAAAAUAAUGAUUGUUAUUUAUGCAUCUAUCUGUUUGUUUAUUUGCUUACCAAUUCUGAUUGCUGACAAUCUAUGCUCAUGUUAAAUUCAUGGUUUUUUUACAGGUUAUCUUCCUUUUUCGCUAUAAGCAUUCCUCGAGCCACAUCCCCAACAGCUGUGGAGGUAUUGAACAAUGUUAGCUCUUGUGCAUUUGAUUGGAGUUAUAUUCAUAGUUGCUUAUAUUUUUUCGGUUUAACAGGAUGGGAGCUCUAAUGUCACCGACACAGUUCCGACGCCCAAAGUUAUAAUAGAUCAGGACUCGGACCCAGAUGCAACUAUCGUCGAAAUAACCUUCGGUGAUCGUCUCGGGAGUCUUCUUGACACUGUAUGCAUCAAAAACACCAACUUUUUUUUUUGGAUAAUCUGCGUUUUCCUGCUUUUAGGUGGGUCAAAUUUAGCUGAUAAAUUUGUAUCUUUUCUUAUUGUGAAGAUGAAUGCGCUUAAGAAUCUAGGGCUCAAUGUUGUGAAGGCUAAUGUCUAUCUCGAUUCUUCUGGAAAGCACAAUAAGUUUGCUAUCACAAAAGCGUAAGUAAUUAUGCUCCAAUCAACUCGUUACUUUGAGACAAAUUUCUAGAUUCUUUCGUACGCUACAAGAAAGCUUUUCUACGACACUAACUUCUAUCUGUUUAUUGUUGCUCACACUAAAGAUUAUAACAUUACAGGUAUACCGGCCGCAAAGUUGAUGAUCCUGAGUUGUUAGAAGCAAUACGAUUGACAAUAAUUAAUAAUCUGCUGCAGUAUCAUCCGGUAAUGAGACCUCCGUGUUUAACACCUUAUGUUCUGUGAAGUAAUUUGCAUAAGUCUACUUAAAAGCUCUUUUUGUUGUGUUAAUUGGAUGAUCAGGAAUCUAGCAGCCAAUUGGCUCUGGGAGCGACAUUUGGAGUUGAACCGCCUGCACAACAGGUGCUUAUUCUUGGCCUUGUCAAUAAAUUGAACAGCUAUACUUCGUUUUAUGGCUAUUAAGUGGUGUUGUUUCUCUGGGUUUAUAAGAAAAAUGCUAUUUAGUAGGAAAACGAAGAGUUUUGAUUGUUUUUUCCCCCUUUUUAAAGAAAUUCAGAUGCUAUUCUUGAUUUUACAUGUUCAGAUUGAUGUGGAUAUUGCGACCCAUAUAGAUAUAUAUGAUGAUGGCCCUGAUAGAAGGUAUGGAUAAUUCGCUCAAUGCACAAUUCCAACCUCUUAUGAACUCAUAAUCAAACUAUUAAGGCGUGCAUUGUUUAUGCCUUAUACUUCUUACUUUUUAUAAGCUCCACUUGAUUAAGUGUCACAAGAAUUCUAGAAAUACUUAUCUUGUAUAAGAUAAUAUUUGUUAACUUCUGCAAGUUGUGAUAUCAUUAGACAUUUUGUAACAUAUAUUGUACUUGAAUUGUAUUCUUUUCCGCUUCCUGUGAAGUGAAUAUCGAUACAAAUAUGGAAAUCUUUGUAACUUCUGUAGUCUCAGCUCAAAAUGAUCAUCAGCAAUUCAUGUCUAAUGAGCCUUCUGUUUGCCCAAGAUCUUUUAUACCUCAUCUGAGGUCAACUGGUGAUAAUCUACUUGAUUAAAUUAAACAUUGCAUUCAGAUGGAGUUGGAACUAUCUUAUGUGGUGUUUAGUUUUAUACUUAAUAUUUAUUAAGUUGAAUCACUAAUUGUAAAUUAACGGGUUAAAGUAGAAGGGUACUGCACAAGAUUUCUAUUGCUUGGGUUAAAAAUUUUGCAAAACACCCACUUGAUCAUUUUAUCAGCUAAUUUGUUUUGAUAUCAUUGAUGCAAGUGAUUUAAAUAAGCUUAACAUUCUGGGAUUUCAGAAGCUGAAUAUGCUUUUCAACAUACUAUUGUUAAUAAAUUUCAAAUUCGCCAACCAAGUGUAGCAUUACUGAACUAAAUAGGUAAUUGGUGAGAAGCAACCUAUAAAGUGUUUCACGUCACAUACAAAAUAGAAAUCGAUACAAGUGCUUUGAGGUCAAUGUCAAAUUCGUGUCAGGAGGUUCAAUCAUCAAAUCUUGUUCGGCUAUACUAUAUUGUCCUUAACAUUGAUGAUAAGGUCCCUUACUUGGUUGUUUUCCUCUUUAGCUUGCUCGUGGUCGAAACAGCGGACCGUCCCGGGUUGCUGGUUGAUCUUGUUAAGAUUAUUACUGACAUAAACAUCACAGUGCAAUCUGGAGAAUUUGACACCGAAGUAAACAUUAAUGUUCUUUCCAAGAUUAGUUUCUCCCUGCUAAGAGAUUUUUUACUGAAACACUUCUUUGUUACAGGGAUUAUUGGCCAAAGCGAAAUUCCAUGUCAGUUAUCGGGGUAAACCGCUGAUCAAGGCUCUCCAACUAGUAAGCUCUCUCCUGCUUUGAGGUUCUCCGUAGUUAUUAAAUGUAGUCCGACUUGGGUGCUGAAUAGAUUUAGAUCUAACAAAGUAGUAGCUUGGGGAUUGUCCAAAUCCCAAGUACAUUGCUAGUUGGUUUCAGUUGGUUGUUCUUUAACCAUCUCAAGAUUUUAGAAUCUGUUUUGGCCUGGCUUCAGCUUGUGGCUUCUGCAAAAGUGCUGUUUGAAUAAAACUGCUAAAAAAAGCACUAUAUUAGUACACGAGAUAAAGAUCUAAUCGAACUAGUUUCUAUUGCUUACCAUAAUGGUUGCUAGUUCACCACUCUUGCUGAUACAUUACACCAGGGUCCUCAAUCUCUGCAUUUCAUUACAAUCUUUACUCUGUCUGUCAAAUUCCUUCAUCAAAUUAGAUGGGGAUGUCUACGUAGGCGUCAUGUAUCUACGUUAGGGUUGAUACCGCAUGCAUGGUGCUCGCAUGGACAUUUACCAUCAAAAUGUAAUCCGAGAAUUUUAACAGGUCUAAGAAUGUGAUGUGACAUAAAAGGUUAGGAACCAUGAUAACUAUUUGCAUGUUGAUAAUCAAAACUGACACUACGCCAAAUUUGUUGGAAAUAAAUAAAAAAACACGCUGAAAUUUUACCUUACCAACUUGAUCAAGUCGUUCUAAUAUAUAGCUCGUGUGUUUGUAGGUUCUUAUAAAUAGCUUGCGCUACUUCUUGAGGAGGCCAACGACGGAGGAAGCGAGUUUUUAGGGCUCUACUUAAAAGGACAGUUCAAGGUCGCAUAGUGUUCCAACGCAAUUUAAGAUUUUUCUUUCCACAUUACAGCAUCUGGCUGUGUUCCGAAUAAUGUUCUUACUCAUCUACUUUAGUACUCCGUUGCCCGAAAGCUAACUAGUCUGUAUCGAUGGGAUCACACCGUUGAGCCGAAUGAAAUCUUUGCAUGCUUGAAGAAGCACUCUUCUGCUUCUUGUGUUGUAUGCCUUUCUUAUAGUCUGUCGACUGCGAAGUGUUCGAACAAGAUAUUGAGAAUAAUCACUUUAUGCAAAAUUGUUGAAAGAUGGAACUUCUGGUGCUUCUGCAAUUGGGACAAAGUUGCAGAAAUGAGCUUACCAGUGUGUUUCUACUGCAGCAGAAGGCCGUCAGAACAUCAUUAAAGAAAACUUUAUCGAGUAUUUCUUAAAAUAGCUUUAUUCAAACAACAUUUGAUUUUCUGAGCCGAGCGUAGAGAUGCAAAAAAGUCGUGUUUUUUUGGAUCUUAUCGCUUUCUUCUGCUGCAGUUGGGCUGAAGCAGCUUAGAUCAGCAGAUCUGCAGUCUGCCUGCAAGGAUACGAAAUGUUAAUGGAGAGCAGAACAUUCUUGCAUUCCAUUGUGUAAUAUUUGAAUUACAACGUUGUUACUAGGGAUGUCAAUGGGUCGGAUUCGGGACGGAUUUUUAAAAACCCGAUCCCAAACCCGACUCCAAAUCCGAAACCCAAACCCGAACCCGACGGAUUUUGAAAAUCCAUAUCCAAACCCGAACCUGACCAAAUAUUCAAAAUCCCAAUCCGAAAAUCCGAACCCGAAAGAAUUAUUUCUCUUUUCAAUAUUUCAAAAUAUAUUACAUUAAAUCUAAAUUUUUAAAAUAGAAAUUCAAAUAUAAUAUCAAAUUUUUAUAUACAAAUUAUAUAUAAUGUAAAAUAAAUUUGGGUUCGUACCGGGUUCAGAUCGGGUACAGUCAAAAUUUAUAUCUGAAUCCAUAUCUAUCAACUUUUUGUUUUUGAUAUCUAUAUCCGAAAUCAUUUUCGUUUAGCAUCAGAUAAAUUUGCUCAGUUCGGAUUCGGAUUCGGAUAAAAUUUCGGGUAUCCGUAGGACCGUAUCCGUACCCAUCGACAUCCCUAGUUGUUACUUGAUCAACUGAGGCCCAGUUUGGAAUGAAGAGCUAUGCAACAUUGUUGGUCCAAAAGAAGCAAGGAAAACACUCUGAUAUGAUCGGCCAUAUUUUUUUUUUAUUAUUUUUGAAUACAAAUUCAUAUACAAAUUUAUAUCGAAUAUUAAAUUUUAAUAUCUAUAUUCAAACUCUAUCGAAUACAAAUUUGAUUGGAGUAUACUGCUUGUUUGGUUCGACGUAAAGUAAUUUUUCCGUAAAAAUAUAAUUUUACGGAUUUUGAAAAAACUGGAAGUUUUCAUUUUCUGUUGUUUUUCAGUGAAAAACAAAAACUCUCUGAAAGAAAGUCACUUACACUCUCUCUCUCUUAAUAUUAAUAAAUAUAUAUUAUGUAAUAUUUUAUUUAUAAAUAUAAAUUAUAUAUUAUACAUUAUAUAUGUGUUAUUAUAUAUUAUAUAAUAUAAUUUUGGAUAUAUAGUAAAAUUUUGAAUAUAUUUAAAUUAUAAAUAUAGGUGAUAAUGAUGAUAAUAAUAAUAUAUAGAGAUAUAAAUUGUAAUUAUAAUAUAUAUAACAUGAAAGUUAUUCAUAUAUAAUAUACAAUAAUAUAUAAUAAAAGAAAAUUUUAUAAAAUUACUUUUAUUCUAAUUUUUUCUUUCAAUCAAACAAGUAUGGUUGAAAUUUUAUUUUUCUUUUUUCUACAAAUCAAGCAUUAAAGAACGUAAAAAAAAUUUUAUAAAAUUUUUUUUAUUGAAAAUUAUUUUUUAUAAUUUUAUGAUGAACUAAAUAGACCCUUAGUUGAGCCACUCUGUGCUCAUCAAUUUGGAUUUUUUUUUUCAAAUAAUCCUAUGAAAUUUUUUAAUUGGAUAAAUAAUUCUAUAAAAAAAUAAUUGGAAAACUAAUCCUUCUUUUGUUAUGUACGAGUCACGAAAGAAUUUUCUCUUAAAAGACAGUAAAUUAUUCACCACCUUCUUAAUUUUCUACAAAAUGGGUGAAUCAUUCACCAUUUUCUUGAAAAUUAUUUGUUAUGAUUUUUUAAGUUGUUAAGAUUAUAUGUAAUUUGUUAAAAUUUGUAUAUGGUUGUCAGAAUUAUAUAUAAAAAAUUAAAAAAAUGAGAUGGUUAGGAUUAUAUGUAGAUUAUUCGAAUUUUUGUUAGAUUAUUAGGAUUGUAUGAAUAGAUUAUUAUGAUAUUUUUUAUUAUUAAGAUUAUAUAUGGUUUGUUAAAAUUUUUAUAUAAUUUUUAGAAUUAUAUGAAAAAUAAAAAAAAAACAACAAAAGAGAAAGACAGUGAGUAAUUCGAGUAAUUCAUUACUUUUAUGAGAAGUUAAAUAGGAAUUGUUUACUGGUUAUGAAAACGGUAAAUAAUUCACCGUUUUUUGGAUAAAAUUUUAUUCUAUCACUAUUUAGUUAAAUAUAUUUUUUUAGUAGGGUCGUUUGGCUAAUUAUAAUAAUUUUAAGUGUUAUUUAGGAAAAAAAAAUCCCAUCAAAUCUGUAGUGCCACGUGGCCCUAUUAAAUUGUGCCAUUUGUGGGCCUGUACAAGCUGCUCCAUCAAGGGGGUAGGUAACCUUUGGGACCACCAAUUAUCACAUGCUUCGCCAGUUGCCACGUGGGCCCCAUCUGAUCCGUCCGUAACCCCCCAAGGGCUUCGCUUGCCGUUGGAUUGAGUCCUGGUGGAGUGUGGGACCACAAGCUUUCACUCUCAGCGAACCACGCGUUGCCACGUUGACACGUUGACAAAGUCCAACUGUACUCUCUCCCACUCGCUUUUGUCGUUUUCUCAACAUUCUUGUCGCGUUUGGUGUGUACUCGUCGGUACGUUCCACUGGUACAUCACAAGAUCAUCAAAAUUAUAAAAAACAAAAAAUUUAAAUCACAUUUUGGCCCCACAAUUUUUUGUUAUUUAUUUAUUUAUUUUGAACUGUUGAUAAAUUUAUAUACUCGUUUUUUUUUUUUUUUUGAGAAAGUUAGUAUAUUAUUUGUUUCGUUUAUUUUUUAAAAAAAUAAAUUUAGCUGAAAAUGUGAAUCAGUCAGGAUUUGAACUUAAAAUUUCGAAUACCAACCAUCAAGUCUUUUGAUAAAUUUAUAUACUUUUUAUUGCAUGUAGAAUGAACAAAUAAGAGUCUUUCAGAUUACAUACUUGAACAUAGAAAUAAAGCAUUGUUUUACUAUAAAAAAUAACACUUAACUGUUGUGCAAAUUUUAUGUUUAUUUUAUCAAAAAAAAAUCUGCCGUUAAAUAAAUAGCAAAUUAAAAUUCUAUGAAAUCACAGAAUAAUACGCUGUUUAGUAAUAUGCUAUUAUAAUAAAAUCACAUGAUAGUUAAGCGUAACUUUUUAACCGCACAGUGAAAAAUAUAAGCAUGCAUGCUACAUGACAUAAUAGAUAGUUGAGUCCAACUUUUUUAAUCAUGUGAUGGUAAAGUAAAACAAUCCUAAUUCACAAGAGGAUAAGCUGAAGUUUACCUUAUUGUAACAUAUUAAUAAUUUACAAAGAUAAUAUUCCAUGGGAGGAAAAAAAAAACUUUUUAUCAUUCUUUUUAUUGUAGAGAAUUGUAUUUUGUCCACAAUAUAUCUCAAAUAAAAUCUUAAAAUGUAUGUAUAUACGAAUUAAAAUAUGUAUAUUAUGUUAUACAUGUGAUCGAGCUGUCCAUCUUGUUUUGAGUAUAAAAGAAUCAACUUCUUAUUUGUGGGGAAUAUACUGUUGCUAAACUGCAAAUUGGAUCAGUGCUAUUAUUUUAUUAUUAUUAUUAUUAUAUUUUUUGGAUAAUUUGAAUGUAGUUGAUGUCGCGUUAUGCAUGCUUUUAACAUCCUUCUUGAGUUAACAACUUAAGGUUUUAAAAGAAUAACGAUUAUUUAAUAUUUUUAACACAGUAUAUAAGUAGGAAGUUUUUAAUUUGAGUUUCGUCAGUCUCCUAUUAUUGCUUAGUUUUUUCUUAUUUAAUUUAAAUUUAUAUUUUAGAAUUAUUAUUCUUAAUUUUAAAUAUAAAAAAAUAAAUAUGAAUAUUAAAAAUAUCGUAUUCUUUGACACCCUGUGGCUUGUACUUUUCCCAGUUAGAACAGUAGUUAAUUAGUUUUUUAUUAUGUGGGAAAGUGGAGGGUUUGUUUGGUUUAUUCCAAGUUUUCAAUAAUUGGCCCGAAAUUAAUACGCGCACACAAGCACUGUUUAGCAACAGUUAUUUCGAACACGCAUUUAUUGUUUUUUUUUUUUCUAAUGGAUAAAUUUUAUUUUUUUAAUAAUUUAUCUUAUUUUUUAUUUUACUAUUUUGCAUGGUAAAAAAAAUUAUAUUUAAUUAUCAUAAAAUUUAGGUCCUAGAAAUUAUACUCAAUUACUUUGUAAUUAUUGUUACAACAAACGCACAAACGGAAAUAAAAUGACGUAUACGAAACAAUCAAACCACAAACAGAAAAUAAAGAGAACGCACAGAUUUAAGUGAAAAAUCAUAUGCAGAGAAAAACCACGGGCGAGGCAGAAGAGAGCUUCACAAUCAAACGAAAAAGGGAAUACAAUGUUCAGAAGAUUACAACCAAUCACAAUCUCACGCCUCUAGGGCAAAAACGAAAAGGAAACCCAUAACAGCUUUCGGAUCUGAUCCGAUCCGAUCCGAUCUGAUCCUGUUGGCCCGAGCCCUCCGCUACCCACCACAGACAUUUAUUUUUUCUUCACAAAUUUAUUUUUCCAAUUUUGGUCGCACCGCGAAACUGUUGACGACUCAGAAACCUGAAUUUGAGUCGAUUAUCAAUUUCGAGUCAUAUCUAAUAGUUAUAAAAUUAUUGUGUCAUUCUAUUUGAUAAUAAAUAUUUUGUAUAAUAAUAGAUAAUAUAUUAUAUAAUAGUUAAGUAUAACUUUUUAAAUCACAUAAUCACAAAAUAAAAAUAUAAAUUAAAAGUUAUCUUUUUUAAUUACAGUAUUUUUGAAUUUUGAUAGUAAAUAUUUGGUUUUGGAAAGUGCUCCCUAAGUAAUUAGCAGUUCAAAGUUUAUGUAUCCUCUUCAGUAAAAUAUUAGAUGGCGUUGAAUAAAGAAAAUGUGUAAAUUGUUGCAUGCUUUUUCGUUGACAAGUGUGAUUAUAAGUAUUUUUAAAAUUUUUGGAUCGUUCAAAAUAUAAGAACACGUACAUUUAGCUAUCGCAAUACCAAAUUAGGUUUUAGAAUAACUUUCUAAAAUUGACUCUUCUGAGAAUCUUUUUGGCCCAGAUUUUAGUUUAGUUCAUUCAUAUGUUCGCAAAAUAAUAUUUGAUAAAUAAAAAUAUUUGAAAUAUCUUAGCAGUGGAAAACGAAAAAUAAAAUUCUAUGUAUCAAAAGUAAAAAGAAAAAUUGUUGGCAUUUCUAAUUUACUUAAAAUAUUGUUGGAUGGACGCGAAUAUAAAUAUAUAAUACAUUUUCUAAUAGUAUAACCAUUUAAUAGUAUUUUAUUAAAUAUUAAAUAAUAUAUAAUAUUGUAGUUAUAUGCUUGCCGACGCAUAACAACGGGAGGCCAUUUAAUUUAAAUGUGUGAACAAUAUCAAACUUAGCCCUUUGAAACUUCAAAAUAUUAUAUUUGUCCCUUUCAAAAUCUAAAAUAUCAUUCGUGGCCCUCUACUAUUUGUAUAAAUCUAUCACAAACGUCUCUGUGAACUCCAAACCUAAAGCCUAAAUGCUAAAGCUAAACCCUUUAAUGUUUAUAAGGUAAAAAUUUACAUAAUUUAUCUAAAAUAUGAAUUAUUUUGAAUUAGCCACCCAAUCUUUCAAAAUUUUGUUAUUUUACUAUCAGAUAUUUCAAUUUGUUUGAUUUGAAUCAGCCAACGGCACUUACUCUUUAAAAUUGAAUAUAUCAUUUAACUUUACAGGUAUAAUAGUAUGCUUCAUAUAAUUUUCAUAACUAUAAAUUUAUUAAAAUAAAUAAUUAGCUUAAAUUUUAAAAGCAAAGCAUCGUUGACUGAGUCAAACUAAAUAAAUUGAAAGGUUGGAUAGUAAAAAUAAAAUUUAAAAGAGUCGGAUACCCGAAUAAAAAUGGCACAUAGUUUAGAUAAGUUCAGAAUGUUUUUGCCUAUUCGAAGAACACUAAUGACAUUUUACAAUUUGAAGGAAUUUUAACAAAAUUAGAAUCCGUCGAAGGAGUACUGAAGAAAUCAAGCGUUGAAAUGUCUGUAGCGAUGCUGAUCGUCCAUAACACAGAUAUGACAAAGAGCCGACUGGUUGGGUACUCAAGAGCCAAAGUUCGAAAUCUAAUUGCUCCACAUUUCUACUGAAUUUAUUUUUUAAAUAAUUUUUCAGUGGCGGAUACACUAUAAAUAGAAUGAACUUAAAAUAGGAAACAAGAUUAUGGAGCAGGACCAUCAUCAUUAUUGUCUCAUGGGCCACACUACACAACAACUACAAUAUUGUCUCGUGGGCCUACACUUCCAUGUGGGCCCAAUGAGAAACCCUAAUUUUUUUUAAAAAAAAUAAAAUAUUAGUAGAAGAAUCCGACUAUAGUACUUUCGGGAGCACCACACAUGUGGUGCAGUUUAAUAUUAUUGUCUUGGAAGAACCACUAUCGUGCUGCUUUUACAAUUCUUAAUAUUAGAGUUAAAAAGUCGAAAAUACCAAAUUUUUUUAUAUUUUUGGAAGCAUAAUAGCUCUAUACAUGAAUAGAAUCAAAAUUUUCAAAAAACAAUUUUGUGUUUCUGUAAUAUUAAUAACUACUUUUUUAUGUUUUUUUACAUUUUAUAUAUAAAUAUUUAUCUUAUUGUGAAUUUUUUUUGGAUCUGCGGUUGGUUAUCUUACUAUAUGUAUGAUGCCAUUACUCUCUCGCUCUCUUUCUCUUUCUCUCUGGGAGAAAGAAAAAAAAAGGGUUAAAUAAAUAGCAAAGUAAAAUUUUGUGAAAUCACGGGAUAGUACUUUUUCUAACAAUAUAUCUUUACACCUAAGGAUUUAAGUGCUGUAGUACAGGAUUGUGAUGAAUCUUGCCGACACGGUAUGACACGGUGCGUGCCGAACCGUGUCGAUACUUGCUGGUCAAAAAAAUUUAUGUGUGCCGACACAUAAUAGCAUGAAAUAUUUAUUUUCUUUAGCAACAAAAUAUUCUAACUAUUUAUUAUAUUUUCUUAUCACAUAUUUUAAACUUUAUUGAAAAAAUUACUUACUAAUUUAAAGAAUAGAGGGUUAAGAGUUGUGCCAUUGAUACGGAGUUUGUAUCGUGCCGAUGUCUUAUUGGUAUGGUACGGCACGGUGGAUACGGCCCGUGCCGAUGGACACUUAAAACCUUAUUUACACUAAAAUAAAAAUAAAAUAAACUGAUAGUUAAGCGUAACUUUUUAAUACGAAAAAUCUCUACGGAGCAUCCGGGCCAAGCUACACUACUUAUGAGUGGGGGAUGGAUAUAAUUUUUUUUUUUUUCAUACUGUAGCUAAUGGCAAAAGGAGAGCUAACAUGAUUGGUAUGAUUGAUGAGGAUAGUGAAGUGUACUGAUCCGAAGAGGAUAUAAAGAGCUAUUUCUAUCAUAAAUUUAAGGAGCGCUUCAUAUAUGAAGAGAUGGCCCCGACUUCCUUUGGCGAGUGGAGCGGCUUCUUCAAAUCGUUAACGACCCCUAACCUUGCUCGACUAAUUGGACCUUUCAGUCUAGAUGAAAUAAAAACAAGCAGUUCUUCAACUCGAGAGAGAUAAGGCAUCGGGCCUCGAUAGUUUUCCGUGAGUUUCUACCAAACUUUCUGGAAUACCCUAAAGGAGAAUAUUUUGAACCUAUUCCAGAAAAUGUUUAAGGGGAGGAUGACCACCAGCCCCAUUGAUUACGCCUUCAUCUGUUUAGUCCCUAAGAAGGAAGGGGCUAAGAGCGCGAACGACUUUCGACCUAUAAACCUAUUGAAUGGGAUUCAAAAAAUUUUAUCAAAGGUUCUGGCCAACAAUCUAUAGCUGCUUAUAAACGAUCUAAUAUCUCCCUCCUAGUCGGCAUUUCUGAAUGAGAGAAAUAUCACUGAUACUUUUGCAGCACUUUGUGAACUAAUGGGUUGGGAAAGUGAGAAGGUUGUAGAAUGAGUCGGGGCAAAGGUGGACUUCGAAAAGAUGUAUGAUAAAAUCUAUUGGCAAUUCCUUUUUAGUAUUUUAGAAUGGUGGGAUUUCGACGAAAAGUGAUGUGGAUGAAUCAAACUCUGUGUGUGUUAUGCCAAGAUUGCAGUUUUGGUUAAUGGCGAGACUAUCAAAUGGAUAAAAAUGAAGAGGGGCGUGAGAUAGGGGGACUUACUCUCUCAUUUCCUCUUUCCUUUGGUGGCAGAGUGUCUUGCCCGGAUGACAAAUGAAGCAAUUACAAGUAAUCUUAUUAAAGGACUUGGACCCUUCGAUGUGACUAGGAUUACUCUUAUUUAAUUUGCGGAUGAUAUAUUUUUUUCUAUGAGGGUAAGAAAAGGUAUUUGAGAAAUCUCAAGUUCUUGUGAUACCUCUUUGAAUGGGCAUCCGGAUUGAAGGUCAACAGGAAGAAGUCAGAACUGUUCUACAAUGGACAGGCUGAAGGAAAAGCGAUAAAACUUGCGAAUAUACUUGAGUGUUGAAUAGGCAUCCUCCCUACCAAGUACCUAGGAUUGUCUCUUUCUACCGAGCCCCCUAGCUUUGAAGGAGGAUUAGAAUAGGAUCAUCUUGAAAAUAUAAAGAAAAAUUGACUGUUAGCAAACGAAACUCCUAUCAAGAGGGGGUAGAUUAAUUUUGACAAAUGCGGUUCUAACCAACCUACCUAUAUACUUCUUGUUUAUAUUCAAGGCAUCUAAAUGGAUGAUCGCGCAUACUGAGUCUUUGUAUAGAGACUUCUUCUGGAACGGAGGAAGCAACUCACCAGAUAAGGGUUGUCUGAUAGCUUGGAAGAAUGUAUGUAAGGAUAAGAAAGAAGGAGGACUUGGCAUCUUAGACUUAGCUACGAUGAAUAAGCUCUCCUGACCAAAUGGUGGUGGAAAUUCCACUGGCGCCCCAAUUACAAUGGAGCAAGAUUAUUCAUACUUUAUACUAUCAUAGAAGAAGAUCUUUAAAGAAGAAAUUUUUUUUUUAAACCUUACUCAUAUUGGUGAAAGGGAGUACUUAAUCAGAAUAAAAUCUCCAAAUAUGGUGUAUUAUACAAGUUGGGGAACACGAGUAAUAUCCAUUUUUGGUAGGACCGCUGGCGUGGAAAAACCACAUUGCAAUUGUCAAUAGCCUAGUCGCAUUCCAAGAGACCCAUUGAGCUGUCCAUCUUGCUUUUGAGUAUCCAAAAAGAAUCAAACUCUUAUUUUGUGGGGAAUACACUGGUGCUAAACUGCAACUUGGAGUAGUACUUUAAUUCUAUUAUUAUUAUAUUUUUAAGUUAACUUGAGUGCAGUUAAUGUAUUUUUAUGCUUUUUACUAUUAGUAACGGAGUCGGCACAUUAAUUUCCAUAUACAAAAAAAAUUUUAUGCGUGAGGUUGUAACGGUGAUCUCGUUACUAACUAGCAAAGAUGCUAACGCAUGCUGUAAACAUUAAUCUCAUUUUUCGCACUCUCUUUGUGUUGAUCAAAUUUAAGUUUUUGAAAAAAAAUGAUUAUUUAAUAUUUGUAACAUGAUAUCAAAGUUAGAUGUUUUUAGUCCGGAUUUUCUAAGAUUUUUAUUGUUACUUAAUUUUUUCUUCUUCAAUUUAAAUUCGUGUGUUUAAAAUUAUCAAAAACAUCUCGAUCUUAAAUAAUAAAAAAAUAUUAAAUAUAAAUAUUAAAAAUAUCUUCAUCUUGUAUGCUAGUUUAACUAUCGUCGUGCUCUGUAGCACCUUGUGGCUGGUACUGUCCCCAGUUAGAAAAGUUGCUAAUCAGUUUUAUUUUAUUCCGUGGGAAAGUGAAGGGUUUGUUUGGUUUAUUCCAAGUUUUCAAUAAUUGGCCAGAAAUUAAUGCUUGCACGCAAGCACUGUUUCAAACUCGCAUUUAUUUUUUUUUUUUUGUCGUGGAUAAAUUUUAAGCUAAAUUACAGAAGAUUCUCCGUCAAUAAUUUUUUUUUUUUUUGUUCUUUUCGGUCAUUCAAAAAUCUAUAUUUGUCCCUUUAAAAAAUAAAAAUAUUCGAUUUGACUCCCGCCGUCAAUGUUUUAUUAAGAUUCUGUUUAUAUUUUAUUUUUUAUAUUCAAAAUAUCCCUCAAACCCCCCUCCUUCCGCAUCCUCAGCCGUGCCGCCUCGCCCUCGUCCAUAUAUCUCUCCAUGCCGACACACACACCCUUGUCCGCCUCCACCGCCUCACCCUCGUCCACCUCGAGGAAGUUGAGAAAUAAUUUGGUCAUUUUGUCACAGCGUAUUUCUCUAUGAAUAUUUUUUAUUUUUUAAGAGGGUAAAGUGUAGAUUUUUGAAUGACAGAAAAAAAGUAAAAAAAAACUGAUAUUGAUAGGAAAGUUUUCUGUAAUUUAGCCUAAAUUCUAAUCUUUUUUAAUAAUUCAUCUUAUUUUUAUUUUGUUAUUCUGUUUGUGGGUAAAAAAAAUUAUAUUUAAUUAUUAUAAAAUUUAGGCCUAAAAAAUUUUACUUAACUGCUAUGUGGUUAUAAAGUUACUGUGCCAUUCUAUUUGAUAGUAGAUAUUUUGAAUAACAAUAAUGAUAAUAUCAUAAAAUAGUUAAGUGUAAUUUUUUAAAUCACAAAAUCGCAAAAUAAAAAUAUAAAUUGAAGUUUUUUUUUUUUUAAUUACAGUAUUUUUAAGUAGCUUCUAAUUGUAGGAAAAAUAAGAGCUUUAAAUUGAAACAUUUGGUGUUGACACGUGCUCCCUAAAUUAUAUAAGCAGUUCAAAGUUUCUGUAUCCACUACAGUGAAAUAUUAAAGAAAAUGUGUAAAUUGUUAUAUGCUUUUUCUCGGACAAUUGUGAUUAUAAAUAUUUUUAAGGUUUUGGAUGGGUCAAAAUAUAAAAAUAAAUACAUUUAGCCGCCGCAAUACCAAAUUAGGUUUUAGAAUAGCUUUUCAAAAACAACUCCUCUGAAAACAAAAAAAAAAACUUCUAUAUAUCAAAAGUAAAAGAAUCAUUAGAAUUUCUAAUUCUAUUACUCAAAACAUUGUUGGAUAAACGCGAACAUAGUAUAAUUUUUAAGAGUAUAAUCAUUUAAUAGUAUUUUCUUAAAAGAAAACUUAAAAUACCGCUUAUUUGGUUUCACAUUUUUUCACUUUAGUAUCCUGUGAUUUAAAGUGUAUCAAUUUAAUACCUUAUGAUUUUAUUUUUAUUUUUUUAUUAUCAAUUCUACUAAUUUUUUUUUGUUAAAUCAGUGACAAAGUUAAAACUAAAGGGUACUAAAGUGAAUAUUCGAUAAAUCUAGAUAGAGUAUCUAAAAUUUUGUAUAUAAUUUAACAAAAUAUUAAUGGAGAAGCUGACGAAAAGCUAAAAAUAAAACCAAAGUACACUAACUUAAUACACUUUAAAAUAUAGGGUAUUGAAAUGAGAAUGCAUGAAACCACAAGGGUGAUAUUUAAAAUUUACCCUUUAUUAAAUAAUACUAUACACCUUAGGAUGGCCUAGUUGUCUUGGUAGUUAUAUGCUUGCCAACGCAUAACAACUGCAGGCCAUUUGAACGUGGUAUCAAUUUCAAACAUAGUCCUCAAAAACUUCAAAAUGUUAUAUAUGCCCCUUUGAAAAUAUAAAAUUUUAUUCAUGGCCCUCUAAUAUUUGUAUAAAUCUAUCACAAAUGUCUCUCAGAAUCAUAAUUAGUUAAUUCGCGAAUUAUUCGCGAAUUAUUGAAAAUUCGAAUAAAACAAUCUGUAUACGAUUUAUUUUCAAAAAAAUAGAAUAAUACGCAAAUUUUUUGAUUAGAUUUAUUAUUCGCGAAUAAUUUGUGUACUACGAAAUAUUCGGCCAAAAAAACUCGCAAAUUUUUUGGAUAAAAUUUCUUUCCGAAUUAUUGUCGAAGUAUUGCCAAAUUAUUCACGAAUUAUUGAAAAACCUCAUGAACUUCCGAAAUAUAUGGACCAUGAAAAAGAUGAAGAUGGAGACAAUAAACUUUGCUGUUGCUUUUUUUACUUAAUCUAUUUUAUUUUGUAGCUCUCUUCUUUUUAUAUUUUUAAGAAUUAUAACUAUACAUACUAGUAGCAUAAAUCUAGAGAAAAAAAGUUUAGUUUAAUAGCAGAAUUUUUGAUCCCGAAUUGUUAAUCGGUGAAUGUAUAAUAUCCGUAUAAAUCGAGUAUCCGAAUGAUUGGUGAAUCCAUUUUUUAAGCCGUAUUUUUCAACGAAUUUAAAAAUUGAGAUAUGAAUUUUAUUCGAAUUAUAUCCGUUUCGAAUUUUUGCUGAAUCCGAAUUAACUAAUUAUUCUCUGAACUCCAAACCCAAAGCCUAAACCCUAAACCCUAAACCCUAAACCCUUUAUUAAUAUUUAUAAGGUAAAAAUUUACAUAACUUAUCUGAACUAGAAUUAUUUUGAAUUAGCUACCCAAUCUUUCGAAAUUUUGUUAUUUUACUAUCCAAUAUUUCAAUUUGUUUAAUUUGAAUACUCAACAACACUUUGUUUUUAAAAUUUGAAUGUGUCGUUUAUUUUUAUAUAUUUAAUUAGUAUGCUUUACACAAUUCUCAUAAUUAUAAAUUAUUAAAAUAGGUACUUAACUUAAAUUUUAAAAUUAAAGUACCAUUGAUUGGCUCAAAUUAAACAAGUGAAAGAUUGGAUAGUAAAAUUAAAAUUUUUAAAAAAUUAGACAAUCAAAUCAAAAUGAUCCACAAUUCAUGUAAGUUAUGUACGUUUACAAGCGUUCAAAGUUCAAAUAUCUGCAGUGGGACCGACCAUCAAGUGAUAAAGAGCUAACUAGUUGGUAGCCAAGGGUAGGGAUGUCAACGGUUUGGAUUCGGGGCGGAUUUCCAAAAAUUCGAACCCGAACCCGACUCCAAACUUGAAAAUCGAACCCGAACCCAAGCCCGAACUAGACAGAUUUUAAAAAUCCAUAUUCAAACCAGAACCCGACAAAAAAUCCGAAGCCCGAACCCGAACCCGAAUCCGAACCCGAAAAUUUGACCCAAAACAAUUAUUUCUCUUUUAAAUAUUUCAAAAUAUAUUAUAUUAAAUCUAAAUUUUUAUAAUACAAAUUUAAAUAUAACAUCAAAUUUUUAUAUACAUAUUAUAUAUAAUGUAAAAUAAAUUCGGAUUCAGGUCAGGUUCGGAUUCAAGUCGGGUACAGUCAAAAUCCAUAUCUGUAUCUACAUCUGUCGGGUUUUUAUUUUUGAUAUACAUAUCCGAAAUUAUAUCCAUUUAGCAUCGGAUAAUUCCGCUCCGUUCGAAUUCGGAUUCAGUUACAUAUAAAAAUAUUUAAACACCGUUUUUUAACACCUUAACUUUUAGAGUACAACGAUUAUUUUACAUGGUAUCAGAGCUGGAGGUCCUGAGUUCGAGUCACGCCAGGCUCCUAGUAUGUUAAUUUCCUCCCAUUUAAUUCAAGUCCACGUAAUGGGACGUAAGGGGGGGUGUUAAAUAUAAAAAUGUUUAAAUACCGUUUUCUAACAGUUUAAGUUUUUAGAGUACAACGGUUAUUUGGGCCAAAUUUGGAAGUGAAGUUGCUCUACAUUUUUAGCAAAAUAUAUGUUUUAAAUAAAUUUUCAGUGGGGGAGACACUAUGAUCAAGUACAAUGAUCUAAAAAUAGGAACAAGGAUGAUAGAGCAGGACCAUCCUCUUUAUUGUCUCAGCGGCGGAUCACUACGACAACAGUACAAGUAGGAUAGAGCAGGGCCCUCCUCUUUAUUGUCUCGUGGGCCCAACGCUCCCAUGUGGGCCCAAUGAUAACGCGCCUAAUUUUUUUUUUAAAAACAAAUAUUAUUAAUUAAUAGAAGAUUCCGAUUAUGAUGUUUCCAAAAGCACCUUUCACCUUGUGCGUAUUAAUAAUAAUAAUAUUAUUAUUAUUAUUAUCUCAGAAGAACCCCUAAAUUCUACGGAGUUCAUUAUCAUUCCAAUCCUAAAAAGUCAAAAAUACCUAACUCUUUGAUAGUUUCGAGUGUACAGUAACUCUAUGUAUUAAUAGAGUAAUUUUCAAAGAACAUUAAAAUAAUAUUUUUACCGUCACAAAUAUGCUCAUUCAAAUUUUUUUUCUAAUUGUUGGAAUUAUAUAGAUAUUUCAUUUCAGAAAUUUCCAACAGUCAUUUUCUUUUUUUUUAUCAUCACAAAUAAUAUAAGAGAGAUAAAAAAAUCAAUUUAUUUCAUUCAAUAAUUAGGAUUAAGUAUUUUACCUAAUAAUUAACUAUAUUCUUUAGGGUAUAUUUGAAAAUAUUAGAUUUUUUUAAAAAAUAAAUAUAAAAAAAUAAAUUUUGUAAACAUAUAUCUGGUAUUCGAUAUAUUUGUAAGGACCAUUAUGCAAUUAACCUAAAAAAAAUAUGGUGUGUCGUGAUAAACCGUAAAAGAGUAUCCGCGAGUAACCCCACCGCAUUCUCCUCGACGCUUCGUUCUCCCCAUGGUGCGCGACUUUUAACGUACUCCCACUCCCCGGUCUCAGUUUCCACUCUGCGAGUUCUCUCUCUCUCUCUCUCUCUCUCUCUCUCUCUCUCACUCUCCAUCGAUCUCGGAUCUCCUCACCGACCUUCUCUCGAUUCGCCAUGGAUUCGCUUCUUCUCCGGCCAUCUCCCCUCCCUCCGCGGCCCUUCGCCGCCGCCGCCGCCGCCUCUCGGCGAGGUACGCGCUCCCCACUCGAUUCGAGCUCUUGAUGGGUUGCAUGAGGGAAGAUGCCUCUGAAUCGAGCUGAUUGAUCUACUAUCUAGGGUUUAGAGCGUCAAAGUAGUUGAAUCGCGAUUAAUUUUAUGGCAUUGAUCUUAGGAUUGCUAGUUUUCUCCUUGUCUAGGGCGAGAGUGUGAGUAUGUGGUGAAUGAAUAGCCUUGGAUUGAGUUCUGGAGUUCCGGAUCGUAAGUAUAAGAAGCUAUGUAUCAAGAUACUUCUAUAAGCCUCGCGUGUCCAGUGUGGACACUUUUUGGAUACGUGUUCAAUGCUGAUCCAUAGCUCAGACAAUUAAGAAAACAUAUACAUAUUUUUAUUUUAUUUUAUAUAUGCAUAUAUAAUGAUGAUAAAUAUGAUGGAUGCAUACAAUUUAUUUUUGACAAUGUAAAUAAAUUAUGUAUGGUGGAGAAUUUUUUUUAAAAAAAUAUAUGAACUAUAAUGAAAAUUUUACUAACAUUCAUUCGUAUAAGAUAACAAUAUUUUUUCAAAAUUGAUAAUUUAUAUAUAAUAUAUAUAUAUAUAUUAAUAAUAUUAUAUUUUAUUAGCGGUAUUCAUGCCGUGUUCGUGUCCUAAUUUUUUAAAAACUAUCGAGUCACCGUGUCCGAGUCGUGUCGCAUCCCGUAUCCCGUGUCAGUGUCUUUGUCAUCUAGAUAAGAAACGAUUGGUAGAUAAGUUUCAUAUUAUCCUGCUUCUUCCUUUUCUUUUAUUAGAUAUGUUGAGAGAGAUAAGCUUUUGUGAUUUGAGUAUGACGACGUGUCUAAAUGAGCGAUUAGCACAGCAAUUUAUGGACACUUGCGUGAGUGUUUAACUUAAGAGAAUGUGUUCUUAUUAUUAUUAUCAUUUUUCCCAACAGCUUUGUAUGCUAAAUUACAGAAAUCUGCAACUGAAGCUAUUCCCCUGUCUCAAUUUUCUCAAAAUUUGAUCACAUUUUUGACAAAGGAAAAUGUGAGGUAAACACCUUGACAAAUUAACAUUGGUAACUGAGGCAGCAGGACAAGUGUAAGAUGGUCUUUGUGAUGUAAUUCAGAAAAUCAAUUAAUGUGGGUUACUUUAGCUUCAAGUUAGAAAGGAACUUGGUAAAAAAGCUCACGUAUACAAGAAGUUGGGUGUUCAACAGUCUUCGAAGGAAGAUUGAGGUUAACUUGCCGUGCUAUAAUAAGAAAUUUAAUAAGAAGUUAUAAGGUACAAAUGUAAUUGUUCAGUUUAGACAAUUUUUAGCUCCUAGAAGAAAUCUUUUUUACUUUCUAAUGAAACUCCUUUGCUUCAUUUGUUUGGUUUCACCUUUUGCAAGUCAUAUUCAUGUCCUCUAGAUUGACGAGCUUGCUUGUUGAGUAGCUAACAGAGUCUUGGUUUUUUUUUUUUGUGGGGGUAUAUUUCUCAGAUUCUCGGGUACCAAUACUUUAUUCUACUGGCCGAGCAUGUAAUGGCCCCUCUGUAUGGUUCAGUAGAAGAGUUCAAGAGCCCCUCAGAGACCAUUAUUUCAGACAUAUUGAUGGAAAAUCUACAUGUAGUGGGAGAACUCGUGAAUCGACCACUGUGCAUGCCUCAGGGAAGCCUUUAGAACCUGGACAUGAAGCAUAUGAUUCCUCGAGCAUCUGGCGACCAAUGUUAUCUUCCCUAAAUGCUUUUUACAGAUUUUCACGGCCACAUACAGUUAUAGGAACAGUUAAGUGGUACUCUUGUAGGAUUUUAAGUUAAAAGUUGUUGUACGGUUAUAGUACUUUCCCAGAUCUCAAGAUUUUUAUCAAUAAAAUUAUAUUUUUCACUUGUCAUCGACAGUUCUAAGAAGUGCUUUAUGUCUGAGCAGGCUCUGAGUAUAGUCUCUGUUUCCCUAUUGGCUGUUGAGAACUUGUCUGAUAUCUCUCCCUUGUUUCUGACUGGGCUGUUGGAGGUAACGAGUCUCAUUUUUUGAAAAUUUUAACCAACUUUCAUGGAACUAAAUGUUUUUGUACUUUCAGGCACUUGUGGCUGCACUCUUCAUGAAUGUUUACAUUGUCGGACUAAAUCAAGUGUAUGACAUUGAAAUAGACAAGGUAUCCCUCUAUAACCAGUCUUGGAAUACCCUCGUUCUUUGCCCUGCUCUAAAAUGAUUUAGUAGGAUGUUAUCUAUUUAAAUACAACAAUUUCGUGAUCUGCAUCAAUGCAUCAUUCAGAAUGCAUGCAUCCUGGUGCCUAAAGUUUUCUUCUGGAACUCAUUUUGAAAUUUAAUCCCAUCAUUUCAGGUCAAUAAGCCAACUCUUCCACUGGCUUCGGGGGAAUAUUCUCUGUUGACUGGGGUUGUGAUCGUUUCAACUUUUGCAGUUUUGGUAAGUAAGACUGUUUAAGUUGUCAGAAUAGUUUGGAGAACCGUAUUUGCUAUCUAUUGCUUUGCAUAGAGCAUGCAAUACAUGGGAUUGAUGCUACAAGUAGUUUAGUAUGUUAGAAGUAGUCUAGUUUUUUUUAUGUCUAUUUUAGUGCUUAGAAUCUCACUUCAUAAAUGCUUGUGCACCCAAUUUCAGAGGUUUCAUUCAUACUAAGUACUGCUUCGUGCCAAAGAUGAUGUUGAUGCUAAUCUAUAGAAUACAUCAAUUGGCGGUUGGGUCACAUCAAGAAAAUGGGUCCUUAGCGAGCCAUGUUGCCAAUUAAGGCAUAAACCGAUGGGAGCUGACGCGCCCAUUGCACUGUAAACCGGCUAUAAAAUAUGCAUCAAAGAUAAAUUUUUGUAGUACAAUAAAUUAUUAAAUUAUUUGUUAUUACAUAUUAUUAUAUUUUAUUUUAUUUUAUAGUACUAAUUAUUAGGUAUUUUAUCAAUCACCUAAUAUAUUGUGCGGUGUAUGGACAUUAGUUUACACAGGUGCAAGCGAGAUUUCUUCUCUCUCUUGGAAUUAUGAGUGCACUCUAUUAAGCAUUCUCUGCAUCGGGUGUAUAUUGUACAUAUACCACAUACUUAAAACCCUUUAAUAGAGAUUUCAAAAUCUAAUUUACUAAACAGAAUUAAUUAUUAGGCUUUGUAGAUCAAAUAUAUUUAGUUAAGUUUUAAUAUUAGAAUAUUUGUAAUCUAAUAUAAGGUUCGGUGUACGGAGUGUUAAUAUACACAAGGUGCAUGUAAUAGUUUCUUCUUGCUCCGAUCAAUUUUAAUAAGGUAAAGACACCCUCACCUAUUCAACAAUUUGAAAUAAGUCCUCCAACUUUAACUUUUUAGUUAAAAAAUUAUUUAUAGAAUAACUAUCAAAACUAUUUAGUUUGAUUGAGUUUUUAAAUAAAGUUAUUACAAUAAUUUAACUCUACAAAUACUGAAAGUUAAGGUUAUUUUUUAUAAUGGCUACUUUAUAGAUUUUUUUUUUUUUUUGUAUUUCUUUGGUUACAAUUUAUUUAAUCUUAAAAUAAAAUUAUAUAUCUUAAUUAACUGAAAUACUACCUACCCGCCUCAAAACACACGGCCAACACUAGUUAGUGUUAUUUUGCCACUUACAAUGUCGUACAAUUAAAUACCAGCACCAAACAGAUGUUAAAUUUCCUCACUGAAAAUUAAUCUUGAUGCUGGUAUUUUCACUUGACAACGUUUGAAAUGGUUUAUUUUGUGUCAUGGUUGCCGCUUUUGGCUAGGAUUUCAGUCCAACAUAACAUUUUGAUAAUACAGCUGCUUUGUAGCUUACUCAUGCAUACAACAUUAUGGAAUUGUCAAAUGAUGCAACAUUGUUGCUGUUUAGGGGCUUUCACUUUCUAAGCUUUACUAUGAAUGUAUAUACAGUUAUCUUCAGCUUUAUGAUACUUAUGGCACGUCUUGUAAAUGUUUGUCUCAAUUUAGAGCACCUAUCAUAUACCACUUCUGUCAUUGGAACUACCAAAAUUUUUGACCUCUAUCAUAUACAAAUAUCUUAUUUCAAAUGAGACGAAAGCAACUUCUCAUUACGACUUGUAUUGCUAACGAAGAUGUAAAGAUCAGUGUGCCGUGAUUAAAAUUUCCUUUACCAACAUGUAAAUCAAAAUAUCUGAAUAUUGGUUAGAACAGAAUUGUUAAUCACGAGCUUUUCAUUCAGAGCUUUGGUGUUGGAUGGGCUGUCGGUUCUUGGCCAUUAUUUUGGGCUCUGUUCGUUAGCUUUGUACUUGGAACCGCAUACUCUAUCAAUGUAAGCAUUAUCCUUUUCUGCCUAAUUUACUCUAUUUUCUUCCAGUUGAUUUUUCAGAGUUUCACGACUGCUCAAUAUGCAUGCAAAUAAUGGAGGUUUUUUGACAAUGCAUCUGUGGAUUUGUUUUGAACUUCUUGUCAAUCAUAUUUUUUUAAAGGUAGAGAGAAAACAUUUCUUCUUUCAGUUGGGAAGUUUAGGCCUUUUUUACAUUUUAUCUUCUUCGCCUAUAUGAUAUUUGCCAGGUAUUUUAAUCCUGAAGCAAAAGAUAAAAAAGUUCCAUAGAUAAUAUGAGAUCGGCAGAUAAUUAGCUUGAUUUUGUUAAUUCUAAAACAAUGAAAUAAGUGAGCUAUUAUAACAGGCCAUUCCUAUUUGUUGCUCCCUUGCUUGCUUCCAGUUUGGACAAGGUAGUACCACACUGCAUUUAUUUAUUUGUAAAGGAUCCAUUCAAUUUAGAGUGCAAUUCAUGGGUGACCCAAAUUGAAGGUUAGUUAAAGCACUUCACACCCACCUUAGGGCUCUCUGUAAGCUAGCUAGAACUGAAGUGAAACUUAGUUACGCAGGAUAUUAACAAAACUAAAGAUGAUAUAUCUAAUCGAAAUUAAAAGCAUUUAUCUUGAUCUUGGCAUAAAAAAUAUCACCCACACACUCAUUAUCCAAUAAUAAGUUAGAGCAAAUAUAAAAAUAAAAGCAGUAUACAUGUUCUUUGUACCCUGAUGGCUUUUAAACUCGGAUACUUACAGAUCCCCUUUUUAAGAUGGAAGAGAUUUGCUGUUAUUGCAGCACUCUGCAUAUUGGCAGUGCGUGCAGUGAUAGUUCAGCUGGCUUUUUUUUUGCACAUUCAGGUAUAUCUUUCUAUAGCAACAUGGUAUAAGUUAUUUGAAUGCUCAAAAUGUCAUGUUUUCUGUGCUAAUAGUGCUAGGUGUUUUAUGUUGAUAAAUUUUCCAGACAUUUGUUUUCAGAAGACCAGCUAACUUUUCAAGGCCGUUGAUUUUUGCUACAGCGUUUAUGAGCUUCUUUUCUGUUGUUAUAGCAUUAUUCAAGGUAACCAUCAUGAUGGCAAUUCUAUUAUGUUCAUAUGUUCAAAUCUGCUUGGAGAUUCUAGUGUUGUGUGUGUGUGUGUGUGUGUGUGUGUGUGUGUGUGUGUGUGUACACACUAAAAAUAUAUUAAUCUUAAAGUUGAUCGUUAUGCAGGAUAUUCCUGAUAUUGAAGGGGACCGCAUAUUUGGCAUUCGGUCUUUCAGUGUCCGUCUGGGGCAAAAGCGGGUCGGUCAAAAUUAAUAAAACUUAUGACCCUGAUUGAAAUGACUGAAAAAUCUUCUUCAAAUUGCUAAUAACUGUGCAUUAAAGCAGGUGUUUUGGAUUUGUGUUUAUCUGCUUGAGAUGGCUUAUACUGUUGCCAUGGUGAUUGGGGCUACUUCUUCCUGCCUUUGGAGCAAAGUCAUAACUGUAUGUGGCCUUUUAUGUCGUUGAUUGUAGAUUUAAUUUACCUUACAUGAGCUUUUGCAAAAGUGCUGCUGAGUGAAGCUGUUUUAAGUAGAUAUCUUCCACAACCCUUCUCUCUGUAGCAGAAGCAGUUGCUUCAACUUGUAGCUUUUGCUAUUGGUCUGAAAGCUCAUAUCAAAUUUCUGGUACAAUGAAAUCUCUAGACUUUGUUUUUACCAAAUGUGCAGCUGCUGCUUUUCUGAGUAGAUUAUCUGUCUCAGAAGCCAGGUCAAAUGAUCACUCUAGGAUGAUUGUAUGCAUGACACCGAAUUCAUUUAUAAUGGACCAGACAUGAUUUUCUCAUGCAUCUUUUCUCUUAUUAUUUUAUUGUUAACAUAAAUGAAGGUCUAAAUGUUAUUUGUUAAUUAUGCUUUUGAUAAAAGUACUUUCUAUUGGAUUUUCAGGUUUCAGGCCAUGCUAUCCUUGCUUCGAUCCUUUGGAAGCGUGCAGGAUCUCUCGACUUGAUGAGCAAAGCUGCAAUAACAUCCUUUUAUAUGUUUAUUUGGAAGGUAAUCAGUAAUUUCUGUGCUUAUACGGUGAACUAAAGUUAGCUCCAUCUAAUUAUUAAUUUUAGACUCAUCCCUCUACUCGAGACUAUUUCAGACCCUUGUCAAAUGAAAUCAGGCAAAAUACGAAAAUUUCCUUGCACAUUUUGUCCCUUUAUUUUAUACAGUCAAAUUUUAACCCCUUUCUUUUUUUGCCCUCUUUGUAUUCACAGCUCUUUUAUGCCGAAUACUUGCUCAUUCCUCUUGUGAGAUGAAGACAUAUGGAGUCAGAUUAAGUGUGCUGUUGCAGUCGCAAGGGAUUCUUUUCUGAAACCCCCAAAUUAUCUUCUACUUUGCUUCUCCAAAUCUUUGCUUCCUGGCCAAGCUGCUUCUAGAAUCUGUCAUCUUCAACCUGUCCCACCACAAGAGCCAAUAUCUUAAGGUAAGUUGUAUAAUUUGUAUAUUAUUGGAGGAGUGCUUCGCAUGAUCCUAUAUUCCAUCACUCAGUGCGUUUCAAUAGGUCGCAGAUUAGAUGGAAAUUUAUUCGUAAUGAAUAGGAUAUUUCUGUACAUAUUAUUUGACACUGAUUGGUUAGUCUAAACAUGCUAACUUUUCUAGCUAUCCUUUGAUGGAUAGCUAGAAAAGUUACUUAUUUUCUUUAGGAUUUUUUUUGGAUAUUAGUAUUAAAAACAUGCAACAUACUCUUGGAUGUGCAACGGAUCAAAUGCUCUCAGAUGAGAUGUCAUUGGGGAUCUCUCCAGGGAAGUUUUCUCUAUUCUUGAGGGCCCGUGACUUCAAUUUAUUUUGGGCUGAAUUAAGUUUGAGCCCAGAACACGUCCACUUAUUGCAUAAUCUGUGGGUCAAACUGGGUCUUUUUUAAAAAAAACAGUAAAAGCCCGUAGACCAAACUGGGCCCGUUACGUAGCAAAUCUCAUUACUAUAAGGGCUUGUUUGGUUCAUCCAUUUUGGGUAUUGAAUGGGAAUCGGUUUGAUCAAAUGCAGUUAAUUUUGUUUGGUUCGCAUGAAUCGGUUUGGGAUUCCUAUUCCGGACUGGAAUGGGAAUGGCCUAUUAGCUUUCAACUUGAUUCCGGUCUUCUAGCUCGGAUUGAGAUUUCAUUCCGAAAGUCCACUAAAUUUUCGAAGCCCAUGUGACCAUCUCGCCUUCCUUCUCUUCACCCCUUUCUCAUAAAAAAAAAAAAAUCUAUCAUCUCUCAAAACCCUAUUCCUAACUCACAUCAAUAAAAGUUUUUAAAAAUAAAUUUGAUUUUUUUUUUGGAAAACUUAUUAGAGAAUAGUAUUAUAUUUUUCAUAAAUUUUAAAUAAUAUAAAUUUAUAUUUGAGAGUAAAAUUAGUAUUAUUGUAUCCUAUAAUUUUUUUAGUUUAUACGAACCAAAUAAUGAAAUGUGAAUAACUCAUUCCAAUUUCCAAUCCACAAAUAAACCAAACGUCUUGGGGGAGUGAGCCAUUCCAAUUACCAUUCCAAUUCAUUCUCAUUCCAUUAUCCAUUCCAAUUUUCCCCUUGAACCAAACAAGUCCUAAAAGUUUCAAGCGUGUUUGGUUGUGUGGUUUCCUAUUCGAUACUGAAAAUAUCUUUAAUAAUGAGCAUUUUCGUUCAUUUAUUUUAUUUUAUAUAUGUUUUUUGAUGUAUGAUAGUGAUUUGUUGGUAUAAUUUUAGCUCAUAAUAGGCUUUAUAUUUUUCUCUAGUCACUAGAAACUAAUAAUUAAUAGUUGUAUAUAUUCUCGGGCACAAACUUUGGAGCCUAGGUCACACUGCAAACUACAGAAACUGGGAACCAAAAAAAUAUUGUAAAUAGGAAAAAAGCAUAGAAAAUGUAAUCAGUUAAUCUAACUGAUGUUUAGGCUUCGUUUAGAAUCGCAAUGUGCACUUGUUGCGUUUGAUAGAAAAUUAUCGUAAGAAAAUAUUUUAUUAUUUUUGUAAGAAAUAAUUGUCACUUUUGUGCGGGGAAAAAAAAUUAGAAGUAGCAUAAUUUUACAAUUUUUUUUUAGUGCAAUAACGUUAAGCUGUUUUCCAUAAUCAAUGGGUUAUAAAUGAAAACUAGUGACACAAUUUUUAUAAAAAGGAUACCUCCUAGCCUUAAAACUAAGAGAUUUUUAAAACUACCAGUUUUUCAAAACUGGACCAUGAAAUCCAUCCGCGACUAGGGGUGUAAUGUGUGCCGUACCACAUUCGCACGGGCCGGAGGCUAGCCUGGCAUGGUCCGGCCCCAAAGUCGAGCCGUGCUGUGUCGGGCCGAAUAUCUUGACCUCUCGGCCCAGCACGCCCCCUCGGCUAGCACGGGACCGGUCGUGUGGGGCCGAGCUUUGAGCCAGCCCAUUUUUUAUUUAUUUAAUUUAUUUUUAAAAUAUAUUAAAUUUUAGAAAAUUAAAAUUUUAGAAAACCACGUGGGUGGCCUGCGGGCCGCCCAUCCCGUUUUACACCCCUGACCACAACUACAGAAUAACAAAGCAAGGCAAGACGAUUGGGAUGGCUGGUUGAAAGUUUUCCAAGGUAAAUUUGAUUUGGAAUCUAUGAUUAAUUAACCAUAUCUUGUGCAUUCUUUAUUUUAACUUUUGAAAGAGGUAAAAAAAAAAUAAAAAAAAAAAAAAGGAGUAUAAAAGGGAAGGGUGACCUAUUAGGUUUGGGUUUAGUUGUGUUACUGGGAGGAGUAGGGACGCAAAUGGAUCCAGGUUGAUGGAGCUUCCGUUCAUAAUGGGGACAGUAAGUGGAGGCCUUACUCAUUUUGAAUUCUAUCCUGAUUUGGUGUAAAAAAAAAAAUAGAGAGUGAGAGGUGAAAGACUCAUUUCUUCCCUUUUUUUUCCGUCCUAUUCGAUGUAAUUUUAUUAAAAACUUGUUCUUGUUUCAAUCCGUCCUGAUGGAAUAAUAAGUGGGGAUAAAAAAAUAGAGAUAAAAAGUAAAAAAUCAAUUCGUUCCGAAUUUAUUCGGAUUCACCAAAAAAAAAAAAGGUGGGAGGUGGGGGACCGCUAGGAUCCGUCAAGUUUGCAUCCUUAGGGAGGACUCGGCUUGAGAUACAAGAUUUCAAGCUCCCGAUUCUCAAACACCCCACAGACACACACAAAAGAAAAAGAGAAAGAGUUUUUUUUUUUUUUUUAUUUCUUUUUUUUGGAGAGAGAGAGAGAGAGAUAGGUAGCACGCUAUCUGUUUCGUUUAUUCAUUUCAUUUAGAAAUAAACUUAGCUAGAAAUAUAAUAUAAAUCAACUGAGUUCGAAUUUGAGAUCUCGGAUAUCAACUAUCAAAUUUUUUACCAUACAUCUUAAAAGUCACAUCUUAUUAAACUUUUCAGAUUCAAGUAAGUUUGGGUAAAUGAAUUUGUUCAUUGCUUUCCUCAAUGCGCUUAGUAAUUCCUAGAAAUCAAAAUGAUGGAGAGAGAGAGAGAGAGAGAGAGAGAGAGAGAGGUCAGGUACUGUAGCUUUGCAGAAGGAAUCCUAAGUGUGCUCUGCAAAAGAAUCGAUCCUUCUUUAUUUCCUCACAAGAGUCGUAUGACCCCCUCACUUGUUCCCCUCUCUCUCUCUCUCUCUCUCUCUCUCUCUCUAAAUCCUGAUCCUGUUCUCACAAUCGAAGACAUAACGUGCAACAAACAUCUUAAAACUCUCUCUCUCUCUCUCUCUCUCUCUCUCUCUCUCUCUCUCUCUCUAUUCAUUUAUGUACAACUUAGUAGCAAUCUUGUUGCUUAGUGGUCCCUAUAAUAAAGCAUGUGAUAUGCACACAAUGGCACCCACAACUCCCCAAGAUCCAUCCCCGAUCUCAUGCAGUGUUCAUAGCCUUAAAUACCAACCAACUCAGUUAAAGAACACUCUGUUAAAUUGCAUGCCCCCUUUUAUUGCCAUUUAUUAACUGUACAAACUCACUCAUCAGCUCCAUUCUAUUCUCCAAUCACUAACUCGCAUUGCUCGAUCGCACUCAAUUGUCGAUAUCUCGCCUGUACUGGUUCGCGAUACUAGGAAGUAGCAUGCAGCUCACUUAAUUUCGACAUCGUAAGAGGAAAACGGAUCGAAUGGUAGGUCGAAAAUAUGAAAAAACUUGUGCCUACUCUAGAUUACACCAAACUUGUUCCAAAAAAGCUACUAACAAUGAUAAACUGUGCUAUGAUCAAACACAAAGAGUUAUAUAUUAAUUGCCUCCUUAAUUAAAUUCCUUUUAAGCCUAUACAUGGUGAACUCUCUUGAAGGAUAUAUGCAGCGCCCCACUCUUGUAUAAAUGAGUGGACCAUGAAUGUACUAAGCUAUAGAUAUCGCCGAUCUCGUAGACGAAUCGAUUUCUCGCAUCCGUCAACCCACAUUUGAACCGAUAUCUUUGAAUUGAUGAUAUCAAACUUCAAUGAUUUUUUCUCUUUUUCCUUUUUUUGGUUUUUACUCCCAAUAUCAUACUCAGUUACUGUAGGCUUUCAAUUAUUUCAAAAGAUAUAGAUUCACUAGUUAAUGACUAAUGUAAAAAUCAUGUUUGCUACAUGCAUAUAUAUAUAUUGAAUUGUUAAAUUCUUUUUGAUGUUAGGAAACAUUGGAGCUAGUUCCUCAAAAAAUUUAAAUGAUAAAUUUGCACCAUAUUACUACUCUAGUUAAUUUUGCGUAUCGGUGCACUAUAUUAUGGAGGGUGAUAUGAAGGACAAUGAUUAGCCUCAAGUACUUAAAUUUGAUAUUAAAAAGCUUAUUUGAGUAAAUUAAGUUUAUAUUGCAAAUAAAUCUAUGUACUUCAAUGUAAUCCAGUGGAAAAACAAUAUAAUACUUUAGUACUCUUAGGUGUUAGUUGCUAUAUUUUUCUAUCUUGCUUCAUAAAAAGAAAUGUGAUCCAAGAUGAUCGAUUUGUAACCUAUCCCUUUAAUUAACCAAGUUAUACAUAUAUAUGUAAUGAAGUUGAAUUUGCGGGAUUCGCAAACAUACUUUAAGGUUUCAUAAGUCCACAAGUUUUAAAUCUUGCGCAAUUAAUGCAUCAUAGAUAAAUUGAGUAUAGUAAUUAUAUGUGCAUACAUUUUGAAAUAUCAAAAUUAUACAGUUCUAAGAGAACUGUUUACCAUUAAUAAAUAAGUGUGACCACUUAUAAGAUCAUAAGAGAGGCGCACCGAUAAAUUUUGGCGUAUGUGAAACAUGCAUAUUGCGCAAAAUCAACACAUGUUCAUAGAAUAUUGAAUAGAUUAUGUGUGGAGUGGAAUUAAUUAACCUGCGUAAAAAGUUAAACCACUUUUGCGAGAACUCGGGGACUCAUAUUCUAUAUCCACAAAAUUGAGGGACAAGCAUGUAAAACCACUCUUGAGUUGGAUUUACUAAUUCACGUUGGUUGCAUGCAUGGCCUCAGCAGCAAGAGAGUGUAAGUUCCACAAUCUACUUCAAUAUCUUCACAUUUAUUGAGAAACUAACUAUUAUAUAUAUACACAUAUAAAUCUUCUUCUUUUUUUUCCUUUUUUUUUUUUUUUUUAAUAUUCUCUCUGCUAUAGUCUCAGAUACGCAGUAACAAAAAGAAUGAGUUAAAAUCAAAGAAUAUUAUCUGGUAGUAGUAAAUUAUGGGCUUGCUUUGGAAGAUACAACUCUCUGAGCCCCAAAACUACUCACGUGUUGCUUGAGUUCAACUGUAUUUGUAGCAGAUCACUGAAACAACUAGAGUGUCAGUUCCCAUUCUUCUUAUAAUUUUAGUUUGGUUAUUCACCUACAUGAAGGGUAUAAAAUAACUGUAACUGCAUAAUCAGAGCAUAUAUGCCAGUUAAAAAAUGUUACUGGUACCUCAAAAUGUGCCACAAAGUGUAGGAUGAGUUUUUAUUCCAAUGUUUUCCGUAUAUAGGAAUUUUCGAAUCGACGAUCGGCUCUGUUAGACUUGAUCUAGGGUAUUUGAAGUUUUUAUAAAAUAAUUUUUGCGAUUUUUUGAUGUUAUUUACCUAGUGAUCGAAAGGAUUCAAAAUUAAUAAUUUUUAAUGGUUGAUAUCUGCCGUUUUCAAGUUUAACGGUAUAGAAAUAUUCAAAUCAGAUGAAAUUUUGAUACAAAAUUCUUUAUACUAUCUACAACAAGAUCAAUAUUUCUAAUCGAAAAUUUUAAUGCUAUAUCACCACUUUUUAUAGGAUUUUUAUUUUCAGCCGUUAAAAAUUAUUAAUUUUGAAUCCUUUCAAUUGCUAAGUAAAUGAUAUUGAAAAAUUGCAAAAAUUAUUUUUUAGAAACUUCAAAUACGUUAGAUCAAGUCUAACGGAGCGAUCGUCGAUUCGGAAAUUCUAUCAUCUAAAACGGCUCAAGAGCAUGAAGGCCUCCGUGCUCCUGAGAGUACAGCAGUCCUGUUAUAUAUAUAUAUAUAUAUAUAUAUAUAUAUAUAUAUAUAUAUAAUAUUAUAUAUAUAUAUAUAUAUAUAUAGAAUUAGGCUAGAAUGCUAUUAAUAGUAAAACGCUCUUUUUGCUAUCAAGUUUUUAACCCUUGGAUGAAAAAUUAUAGGGUCAGGAUGAUAUUAGUCGGUUAGAGUUGAGUGGUCCCCCUAGGGUUGAGUGGUCCCCACUGGGUUAUAGUAUUUAAUCCAAUGGUUAAAAAUAAUAAAAAGAGUUGAUCCAAAGGCUAAAAAACUAGUAGCAACAAUGGGAUUUUGCUACUAAUAGUAGCCCAGUCCAACUCUAUAUAUAUAUAUAUAUAUAUAUAUAUAUAUAUAUAUAUAUAUACACAUCCAACUUACUUAGAGCUGCAUUUGAAAUCUGACUUAUCAACUGUGCUUUGCGAUACCUCAGGAGUCAACUUACUUAGAGCUGCAUUUGAAAUCUGACUUAUCAACUGUGCUUUGCGAUACCUCAGGAGUCAGGAGCUAUCGUAUCCAAAUCAUUUUUUUUGAGAUCGACAUCUUAAGAGAGCAUGUGUUCUUAAAUUUUUGCAUGAAAAGUCAAAGUAGUUGACACAGUUGAUCAAUACGAAAAUAACACAAUCUACCACACUAUAUUUACUACUCUCGAAAGUCCACAAUGUAUUAAGAAAAUCAAGCAAUUUCAAAAGGUUUAAUUAAUUUCAGGUUGAUUAUCUAGACAUUUAAUACUGUCCAACCAUCGCAAACUUACCGUACUUAUGCGGAUCGAUAGGCUUAAUUGCUGCAAAUAAACAAAUACCGUACAAUAUAUUUCAUGUCCGUGAUGUAUUUUUUCUUUUAUGUAGCUUUAAUGCUUCGAGAAUUAAUCAUGAAAUAAGCCUGCUACAAGCUAGGCCAACUAAUUCCGACAAGCGAAAAAAUAAAAUAAAAAAUCUAUACUAUCUCUAUCUCUUGUACAAUUGUCAAAGAUUAAUGGUUAGGUAUAUAUAAUUGUUGUAGGAAAUUAAUCAGCAUUUAAUAACUAUUUCUUUUUUUAUUUUUUACAUGCCAAAUUGGUGUAAUUAACACUACAAUAUUAUAAAUAGCUACUAAUGCCACAUAUAUUUGUUUUUUCCUUUUUCCAGUGAAAUUUGACUUGUGUUUUUUCUUGUAUUUAGCAUAUAUAGAAGUUAGUUGUAAUAAAAUUUAAGAACGAUGGGAGGAGCAUAAUUUAAGACCAUUAAAUAACUCCCGUUCCUUCAUAUGCUAAAUUUGUCUAUGUUUUUUACUACAAUGGAAGCAAUCAAUGCCCACAGAGAAUAUAUAUAAUCAUAAUACAUACUACAAUGCUAUAUCUAUUUCCUUUUUUUCCCUGAAAUUUUCCUUGUGGUACAUAUAUAUAUAUAUUUAUUUAUUUAUUUAUUUUAGCAUGUUAGUUAUGUCAUUUACUUUGGAAAAGAAUGGAAUAUCCAGAUCAUAUAUAUAUAUGGUGGCAGUGUAGAUUCCAUGAAGUAUAUUUAUUGUGGCUGCGACAGUAACUGUAUAUGAAAUUGGUUGGUUCUUUGCAGGAUUUGCUAGAUAUUGUUUCUGAAACUUAGCUACUGAGGAGUAAAUUCUGCAGUAAUAUACCUGCUGGUAAUCUACUGUUCUCAGGGCAACGCAUGUGUCGUUUCGCACGUAACAUUAAAAUGCAAAUUUAUGGACUAAAAGACGAGGAAUAUCCGUCGAAUAGGAUUUCAUGAGAAGAAGCAUAAUAGUUUUAGUUUGGCUUCAAUGCUUGUUCCAGAAUAGUGGGACUAAUCAUGCUUUGCCAUUGCAGCUGUAAUUUUCAAUUCAUAUAUAUGUAUAUCAUUCUAAUCCUAUAAUUUCUCAUCCAAGGAUUAAAAACUUGAUAGCAAAAAAGAGCAAACACUAUCAAUAGUAUUCCAGCCAAACUCUCUCUCUCUCUCUCUCUCUCUCUCUCUAUAUAUAUAUAUAUAUAUAUAGCACCAAGCGCUUGGUGCUACAAAAUUUUUCGCUGUUAGGUCUACCUCUUUGAUUAUUUUCGUCCGUUCGAUCAUACGAUUCAAUCAAUCACCCACUCAAUCUUUGGAACCACUAUUAUUCUAACCACAUAUCCGUUUAUUUAAGGUCUGAAAAUCUAACAGCAUCAAUAAUUUGGUGCUAUAAUAGUACAGUAGCCUAUAUAUAUAUAUAUAUAUAUAUAUAUAUAUAUAUAUAUAGUGCCAAAAACUAAUAAAAAAUAUAUUAUUUUGCUUCUCAAGUACAUUUAAAGAUGGUGAGAAAUUGCUUACAUCUCAAUCUUAAAGCAUGCAAGAGCAUAUUAAACACACCAAUGGAAGUUUGCACAGUAAGGUGUUAAUCACUUCAAUACAACUUUAAAAAAAAUUCCAAAAAAAGGAGGAAAAGAUCUACUUGAACAUUGACAAGCUAGGUGAUCUUGCCUAGAUAUUAUCCCCUUUGUGAGCAGCAGAAACCAUUCCCAUACCAAGAUAUGAUUCUCUUUGUGCGGUUGGUGCACGGCUUCAAGAUGAAAAUUUUAUAAGAGAAUUAUAGUAUACUAUCUGCUUCGUUUAUUAUUAUUAUUUUUUUUAAAUAAACUUAACAGAACAUAUAAAGCAACUAUUAAGUUCUUUACCACCUGUGCUAGGGUCGAGGGUCGGUCCGUGCAUGGGAAUAGCAUAUGAAUGGGGGAGAUGCGCUAGUGCGGUGCACAGUUGACAUGGCGCGCGGCACAGGCAAUUUACUAUUUCUCAAUUUUAAGAGACAUAACCAACUAAACUGUGUAGCAGAUGAACCUGAGCAAAUAACAAGUACUAUGGAUUAGUAGUGUACUGGCACUUUGAUUUAUGAGGAGACUUUUCUAUUUUCCUUUGGAAGGGAGGAAAUAGGAUAUGUUCGGUACAUUAAUGAUUACCUCCUCUCUAGAAAGGUUUAGAUAUGCGUUUCAUAAAUUGGAAUAUAUAUAUAUACAAGCUAACACUGCUAGGUACAAAAUCAGAGAUUGCAUUGAACUAAUUUUGCAAUUUAGUGUAUUCACAAGGGAAUUGGGUUAUUUGUGCCCUUAUUUAUGUUUGAUAUGGUUUUUAAUAUUGUUGAAGAAGCUUAUACCAUGGCAAUUGAACCUCAAAUCAGUUGAUUAGUUUUUACAACUAAAAUCAGGCCACCCAAAUAAGUAGAAAUCAUCAUAAAUCAUGAAUUGGUGAGCAUUAAUGCAUAUGCUCAAAUUUUUUUAAAGGGUAAAAAUAUACAAAACUUAUCUAACUAUUGACUAUUUCGAAUCGAUUACUCAAUCUUUUAAAAUUUUGAUUUUUACUAUCCAACCUUUCAAUUUAUUUAAUUUGAGUCAGUCGACGAUACUUUGACUUCAAAAUUUAAGUUAAUCAAUUAGUUUAAUGAAUUUAUAGCUGCGAAAAUUAUAUAAAAUAUAAUAAUUUAACUUGUAAAUUAAAUUUUAAAGUCAAAGUGUCGUUGCUUAACUCAAAUCAAUUAAAUUGAAAGGCUGGAUACAUAGUAAAAUUAAAAUUUUAAAAGAUUGGAUUAGCAAAUUAAAAUGAUCUAUAGUUCAGGUACGUUCAGUACAUUUUUUAUCUUUAAAUUUUUUUGAGAAAAAACAUAUAGGGAUUGUCCCUGUAUUGGGUAAGCAAUUAAAUUUGAGAGAAAUGGGCCCAACUACUAGAGAUAAUUAAAUUAUGCAAUAUAUUUAAGUAACACAAGAUCCUUCUAGAGGGUGCAAGAUGUUGAUAUAUAUGGAAUAAGCAAAGCUUUGUCAAAGGCAAUUAAAGAUGAGUUUGUUGACACGGUUGCAAUUGUUAGAGGUCACCAUCUUCAGAUAUUUAUUUAUGGGAGUGCACUCCCAAAGGUCUAGAUCCAUAAACUAACAUAACAUUAUUAUACAAGUAAUUAUUAUUAUGAGAAUAAAUAUUUGGUUGUUUAACUCUUGUUUGAUCAUGAUGGGAAUGUAGAAGUGAUUGAUACAGCAGGGUUAUUACAUGGACACGAUUCCCUUUUCUUUCCUAAGGUUCCAACGCAGGAAAAUUCCAUCUAUUGGUUAGUUUCCACCAUUUUAAUUAAUAACUUAUAUGCAUAUAUCAAAUAUGUAUUAAAAGCUUAAUAUGGAGCUAUUUGUGAGCGUUUUAAGCUCAAGUUCAUAACUUAAGCUUAACCUACGCAGCUUCACUCGUGUUCAACUCGUUUACUAUAACAAAUAAAUAGAAACUUUAGGUAAGAAGAAAAAAUAUAUGAAAAGAAAAUGAAAAACAGAAAUAGGUGACACAAUGAGUCAUUGCUCUGAUCGAUUAACUAUAUGAAAAAAUUCAAAUAACCCUCCUGUAAUUUCGCACUUUUUCACUUUAGUACCCCAUGCUUUAAAAUUCAAGUUAGUACCAUGUUGUUUCGCACUUUCUCACUUUAGUACUCUGUGGUUUGAAGUGUAUCAAGUUAGUACUCAGUGGUUUUAUCUUUGUAUCAAGUUAGUACCCUGUGGUUUCAUUUUUCUCUUUUUAUUAUCCAUUUUCGGGAUAUUUUUUUCGUUAAAUCAGUGACAAAGUUAAAACUAAAAAGUAUUAAAAUGAAUAUUCAAUAAACCUAGGUAGGAUAUCUGAAGUUUUUUAUAUAUAAUUUAACGAAAUAUUAAACCACAUGGUACUAAAAUGAGAAAGUGCGAAACCAUAGAGUACUAACUUGAUAUAUUUUAAACCAUAGGAUACUAAAGUGAGAAAGUGCGAAACAACAGGGGGUAUUUGAAGUUUUCCCGUAGGGUGUGUUUGGUUUCACGUAAAACUGUGAAAAAAAAUUUUUGGUAGAAAAAUUUUUUUCGGAGGAAAAGAAGUUUUACGUUCUUUAGCGUUUGGUUUGUAGGAAAAAAAAUUAGUUUUCCGUUACGAUUGUUUGGUUGAUACAAAAAAAAAGUUAUGAAGAUAAAUUAAUAUAUUUUUUUUCUUAUUUUAUAUAUUAUAUAUUAUUAAUAAAUAAUAAUUAUCAUACUAUAUUUAUUAUUAUUCUAGUUUAUAUUUUAAAAAUAUAUAUUUAAAACAUAUUAUACAAAAAUAUGUAAUAUCAAUUAUAAUAAUAUAUAUUUAAUGCUAUAAAAUAAAUUACUAUAUAUUAUAAAUAAUAUUAUAUAUAUUUAUAUAUAAUAUUAUAUAUAUAUAUAAUAUAUAUAAUAUUAUAUAUAUUAUGAGCUAGUCUCCUAUACUAUCUAUAGUACCGGGGCCUCGGUACUAUAGUCUUGUUUUCGAUUUUAGGGUGUUCAAAUCAACGAUCCACAUCAUUAAAACUGAUUUAAGGUAUUUAAAGUUUUUAGAAAUAAAAUUUUGUAUUUUUUCGACAUAGUUUACUUUAUGAUCAAAUCAUUUCAAAAUUGUCAAUUUUAAUAGAUACUAUGGCGAGUUUGGAGUUUAACGGUGUAGAAGAAUCUAAAUUUCUUCAAAUUUUGAUAGAAAAUAUUUUAAAUUAUCUAGAUUAAAGUUAACAUUCUUGAUCUUGAAUUUAAAAGUCCUAUACUUAAAUUUUAAAGAUUAUUUAAUUUUCACCGUUCAUUUUGACAUAAUUUAUUUACUAAGUAAACGAUGUCGAAAAAAACUAAAAUUUUAUUCCUAAGAACUUCAUAUACCUAAAUCAUAUUUAACGGUGUGGAUCGUUAUUAUGAACACCCUAAGAUCGAAAACAACAUAGUACCGGAGCUCCGGUACUAUAGAUAGUAUAGUAGCUUAAUUAUAUAUAUAUAUAUUAUAUAUAAUAUAUAUAUAUAUAUAUAUAUAUAUAUAUUAUAUAUAUAUAUAUAUAUAUAUAUAGAGUGAGGUUACUAUGCUAUCGGAAGCACGGAGCCUUCGUGCUUCCAGCUCGUUUUCGAUUUUGCGACUUUCGAAUCGUCGAUCGGCUCCGUUAAACUUGAUCUAGAGUAUUUGAAGUACUAAGAAAAUAAUUUUAUGAUUUACGAUAUUAUUUGCCUAGUGAACGAAAGGGCUCAAAAUCAACGGCUGAAAAUAAAAAUUUUACAAAUAUAGUAAUAUGACAUUAAAAUUUUAAAUCAAAAAUAUUGAUCUUGUUUUAUAUAGUAUAAAGAAUUUUCUUCAAAAUUUCACGUGAUUUGGAUAUUUCUACACCGUUAAACUUGCAAACGGCUCACUACGGUCAUUGAAAUUUGUUGAUUUUGAGUUCAUUCGAUCACUAGGCAAAUGAUAUCGAAAAAUAAUAAAAUUUAUUUUCAGAUACUCCAAAUACUCUAGAUCAAGUUUAACGGAGCCGAUCGAUGAUUCGAAAGUCGCAAGAUCGAAAACAAGCUGGAAGCACGAAAGCUCCGUGCUUCUGAUAGCAUAGUAGCCUCACAUAUAUAUAUAUAUAUAUAUAUUAUAUAUAUAUAUAUAUAUAGUAGGGCUAGAAUACUUGUAAAAGUAUCAUAGGGGUGAUACUUGUGUGUUUUUAGCCUUGGAUGGAGAGAUGGUGAGGUUGAAGAUGAUGAAUGGUAAGGUGGUGGUAGGUGGUGGUAGGUGGAAUAGUAUUUUUAGCCUAAUUUUCGUUUUCCGCGGACGCCAGCUGGAAAACAAAAAUUGAUUUUUUUUCAGAGAAUCUGUGAAACAAAUUUUCCAAAAAAAAAUUUUUGUGCAAUCAAACACCGGAAAAAAAAAAAAAUUUCGGAGUUUACGUGAACCAAACAACCCCUUAACUAUAUAAACAAAAAAAUAUUUGGUGGAGCCCACAUGAGUCACUCAACUAACUGACGUUGGAGAUCUUAUUGCUCCCUCGUGUGGUCCCACGUGUCGCCAUACGUACGAGAUACACCCCGAAUUAAUAUGCACACACUCGCCACAUUCACUCCUCGGAAAUCGGGUACUAUACUAUUUAAUUCGUAAGAGUCAUUUGCAUGGACAGCGAAGCUACAUGUAUAUUGAUCUCUACAUAGUAGAUAUAAAUCUUACACUUCGCUUAUUACUUUGUUUAUUAAUGUAGGCGUAAGUCUCGUUUAGAGGGAAUCAGUAUAAAGACGAAAAAAAAGACUACAAGCUAAUUAUGUUAAUUGGAGUAUACGUAUAUAUACAGGAUUGGUACUUGAAUUCUAUUAUAAUUGAAAAUAAUAAAUUUUAAUAUAUUUCUAACGCUAACUUGAUAAAAAAUAAUCAAAUAAUUAGAUUCUAAAUAGAAAAAUAUAAAACUUUUCAAAAAUAACCUAAAAAUGCAAAAAAGUGAGACGUAAGCAGUUGAAUUUGGAUUCCAAACUCGGCGAGAAUGGCUUUGUCCUUUGAUGCGUGUAUUUCAAUAAGUGUUUUCGAAAUUAGAGUUAACAUUGAAAAUGAAUACUCGUGCAAAAAGUUAUGCCCGUUUAUUAAAGAUUUUUCAUGCUGAUCAUAAAAAUUGCCGAGGACAGCGAGAUUCUGGACCAAGCUUGAUUGGGUCAUGCUUUUUCAGAAACCUUAAUGCCAAAUUAACCUCAUUACUCGUCUAAUUAAAAAUUUAGAUUUUUUCAAUGCACUACAACAAUUUUUUUCUGUUGCAUUAAUUUAAGUGCAUCAAAAAUCAAUGCUGUUGUGAUAACACAGAUUAUAUUAUUAAGUCAUUUAUUGUCAUAAAAUUUAUAGUAAUAAUAUGCAAUGAUUCUUAUUUGCUGCAAAAAAUUGGUAUUAUAACUAAAUACGAGCUGAAGUUUUUGGCUUGAUAUUUUAACGAGCCAGCUCGUAUUCGGCUCGUUUAUGAAAUGAGCCAAACACGACCUGAUCCCAGCUUGUUCGUGUUCUGCUCGUUGACACCCCUAGUAUGGAGAGAAUUUUGUUAUCGUGAGAACGAGAACGAGAACGAGAACGAGGAUGGAGCCAGCAAAGAAAUUUACCCGGAUUGCAGCGGGGCCAUGGAUAUUAUUCACCGCCCUUAUGAAGUCAACCAUCCGAGCAAAAUAAUAAUAUAUAUAUAUUAUUAUAUAAUUCUUAAUUUAUUUAUAAAUGCAAAAAAUUUACUUUGAUAUCUUUAAUAUUUUCUAAUUUAACCAAAUAUUUUAAAUAUAUUUAAUUUUUUAUAUAGUAUAUUACUCAAAUAAUAUUUAAUUGUUACAUAUUUUAUAAUUUGAUAUAUUAUACUUAAUAAUUUGAUAAUAAAUAAAAAUAAAUUUAAUAAUUAGAUAAACUUUAAAAUAAUUUAUAUUUAAUUCAAUAUAAUUUUUAAUAAAAUAUUUAUGUAAUAUAUUUUUUAAAAAAUUUAUAGGAUAUCCGUGGGGACGGACGGAGAUAACGAAACUUUCCACCUACUAGAAGAGGAGACGGAGACGAGGAUCAUAAAAAUUUGCAAGGACGGGGAUAGGAAAGGGCUCGCUGUCCCCUGCCAGCCUCAUUGCCAUUGCUUCCACCAUCAAACUAUUAGCCAACUGUGCGAGGUACGGUCAGUAAUUUUUCUAUUUAUGUCAAAAUAAAAGAACACAACAUAAGGCCCAAGUUGGAAAUGUAUUGUUCAAAAACACUUGUUUCUGAGACGAAUAUCAACUCAAAGCCUGAGACGCUGUUUGGUUCUUCGAAAAGUGUACCAAAACAAAAAGUUGUUCGAGAAAAAAAUAUUUUAUAAAUUUUUUUUAGUUUUUUAUUCGUUUGAUUUCAAGAAGAAAUAACUUUUCCACAACCUCUUUUCCAAAUUUUAUGAAAGAUUGGAAUUUUCAUCUUCCUGAAAAAUUAAUCCAAAAAUUAAAAAUAUUAAUCUGCCAUUGUAUUUGAAAAAUAAUUAAAAAAAAAAAUCAAACUAACGAAAAACUAAAAAGAAGGUUUUUCAUGAAAAUUUAUUUCUCAAAAGAAAAAUCCAUGCUUUUCUGACGAAUCAAACACUCCCUCAUUAGCUGUUCCUAUAUAUUGUGGGUGGCAAUGAAUUUGAAACCUAAUUACUUCAAAUUUUUAAAUAAAUUUAUUUUUAAAAAAAUUAAGGGAACAAAUAACAGGUACUUUUUUUUUUCUUUCUAAAAAAAAAUAUCAACUCAAUCUUGAGGCUUUUUAUUAUCAUCAUUAUUAUUACUAUUAUUAUUGGUACUAACUCAAUCCUCUAAAUUUAUGUGUGGGAUCAUUGGGAGAUCCCCUCUCCUUCAUUCUCCAUCCCCUGUCAACCCAAUAACCAAUUAUAACGUUCUCGAUCCCCGUACUCUCUCUCUCUCUCUCUCUCUCUCUCUCUCUCUAUAUGCUACAUUUAUGACGUCGAUGAGACCAGUAAUUAAACACCUCCAAAUAUAAACUCAACAAGAGAUGGAUACGCUCCAGGGGUCCGUGUUUGCGUACGUGCAUGUGGAGUUAAGCGUGGAAGGGUGUGGAAGGUACGUAACGUACCAUGCAUGCAUGUAUUUAUGCAACCGAUCAACAGCUUACAGUUUUCUUUUUUCUUUUUUCUUUCCUUUUUUUUUUUUUUUCUCGUUGUGUGUACGUACAAAUGUAUCCGCCCCUGGAUCGAUUCCCAGGGAUCCCCGCUGUUCGCUGACCUGCUCCGGCUCCGGGCGCCAGAUCCGAUAAUCCGAUCGAUCGAUUGACCAAUAUUCGUAUAUAUAUAUUCUUAAUUUUCGAAGAAUAUUAAGACACGUAGCACGAUCAUGUGGAGGAAAAAGUCUGGAGUGUGACAGUGACACUACAUCAUGUUCCUAGCCAAGUAUAAUUUUUUUUUCUAAAAAAAUAUUAUUAUACUUUAGCCUCAAAAUGAAAAGUUUGAUUGGCUUGAGAGAUAGAUAUAUAAUACGGUGUAACUGCUACGUAAAUUUAAGCCACUUGUCUUCGUGGAAUGCUAUGUAUAUAAAUUUAGAGGGAGGGUGUUUCGGCGGUGAGUAAAUUUAGAAAAUUUCAUUUGGGAGAAACGCUUUGAGAAUAAACUUUAUAGGAUGCAAAUUGGAGCGUAAAUGAUUAAUAAGAGAUUGGUUUGGGCAUGAUAUCCUGAACAGGAUCCAUUACAAACUAAUCCCUACAGAUACUUUUUUUUUCUUUUUUUUUAAGGGAAAGAGAUCAGAUCUAGAGAGGGAGCGUACUAUUUGUUUCUUUUAUUUUUAAGAAAUAAACUCAGUUAAAAAUAUGAAGUAAUUAGACAUUCAAAUUUAGAAUCUCAGAUACUAAUCAUCAAAUUCUUCGCCAGCGAGGGACGGUCGAUAAUCUCUUUAGACUGGUGAUACAUUAAUAAAUUAAUUAAUGUAGUGCUUUAGUCUGUGUGUCACUACAACAGAAGUAGGUUAUAGGGACACAUAUUUAGGACACUUUUGAGUAAGUGUCCAAUUUAUCCUAAAACUUAAAAAAACAUCUACUAAUGCCUAAAUAUAAAGCCGAAUCCAACCAAAAAUAGAAGAUUACUUUACUCAACCCAUCACACUCAGUCCAUUUGACCCGAUUACAAACAGAAAAGAAAAAAAAAAGAAAAAUCAAUUACUAUCUUUUCUUCUCUCUUCACUCAAUCCACUGAAAUUCUAGACAAAGAGCAUUUCCUAUCAUCCUCCUCCGCCACCGCAGCCAACGAGAUAGAGUUUCGGCGUUUGCUAAAUGUUUAAAUAAGUGUUGGUAAAUUAGCAGCACUCUUUUAGGUUAUAGCGACACUCUUUAACUGUCACUAUAUACCUAGCGACCCCACAUAUAGUAACACUUUUAAAAGUGUCGGUAAUUUUAGCUAGCAGCACUUUUUUGACAUGUACCUAUAUUUAAAAGUGUCGCUAUAGACCGUUUUUGUUGUAGUGUGUACGAAACAAUCAAAGCCUAGCUUCUUCCUGUUGUUCUCUCCAAAAGAUCGUGGCUUCAUUAUUUAAUUUGUUAAAUCUCUGUGUCUAACAAGUAUAAGUUUUUUUUGAACUUUUCGAUUAUUAUUUACGCACAUGAAUGAAAGUGUAAAGACUAUUUUUAGAUUAAUGUUUUCUAUUACAUCAGUUUAUUUCAUCAAUCAUAUUAACAAUUGCGCAUGCAUUAAUUUGCCCCCACACGAGGCUCGAUCACCUCGGUUAAAAAGAGAUAAAUCUACAACCAAAUGAAGUAGUAAAAAUAGAGAAAAAGUAGUUCGUGGUUGGACGAAAAUUAUAACCAACUUUCGGUUGCGGAGUUAGUAUUAUUCGACCCGGCCCGUUUUCCUAUUUAGUGGAGCUACAAAGCCAACAAGUUAAUUACUCCUAGUAUAUAUAUAUCAACAGCAUAAGUUAUUUAUUAAUUUUAUAAUGAUUUUGCUACUUAUACGUACGUACGUACGUAGAGUGUAUGACUCCCAUGUAUCAUGUACGUACUGCACCCUGACGUAUUUUACUACCCAGGAUAUGGUAAAGAAGUGGAGAUGGAAAUUGUGCGGGGCCAUUGUCAGAGUUUUUAAAGGAAAAGCAGCGUAGCUUCGCUUUCCAAACACACAUGGAAGGUGCGUGGUUUCGCUCACCACCUGUAAUUGUAAGGAACAUAAUGCGACUGUGGCCUAAAACAUUUUCCUUUUAACUUUUUAUUUUGUUCAACCAUUAUAAAAAAAGAAUACAACAGAGUUCUCCUGAAUCCUGAUAUGUAUAAGUUCUAAGGUGUAUAAUUUUGAUAUGUGGCCGAAAAAAAUUUUUCUUUUAAUUUUUUAGAAAAAAAAUUACCAUGCAUCACAGAAAAGCAUAAUAUAUAAGGUUCGCUUGAUCUGAAAGAUUGAUUUCGUAAAAAGUCUAGCUCAUAUAGAAGAACAUACUAGAAAAUUAUAGUUUAAAUUAAGACUCUUGAUCUGCACACUUAACUUUUUCAUUCUUAUAUUAUGUUUUUUAGCUAUUCUAAAAUUGAGAUUUAGUUAGUAAGAGAUUUUAUACAAUAUAAAAUGUAUGAUUCAAAUAUAGCAUUCACCAUACAGUUUGUUAUUAAUUGCAUUAUUCAUUAAUUUGAGCUUUUCAUGAGCAAAGGCAAUUUCAUUUUUUUUAUUUAUGACUCUAUGAUGGCUAAGAGCUUUCAUAGUUUGCCUGUAAAUUAAGACAUAAUUUACAAAUGUAUAUGCAUAAAUAAAAGUAAAAAUGUUUGUACAUGUACUAGCUUUUUAGCUAAAAAAAAAGAAAGAUAUAAUCUAUUUGAUUGAGCAUUUGCCAUUUCACCUGGAACUUCAACAUUCAUGUAUCAAGGAUACGAAUGUGCUCAAGGAUCUCCAACAAUGAAAGGAGAAGUUAUGGCUAUUAGGUAUUAGCUAGGAUUCUUUAUGGCAAAUGUAAGUCCAAAGUUAAAUGCAUAUUAAACUUAACUCCAACUGCAGUACAAUUUGGACAAAUAAUUUCUUAAAGAUCGAUUGUGAUGGCUUUUUGUAUAUGAAGUCGCUAGAAUUGCCUUAUAAGAGAGCAGACCUAAAUCUUGUGAGUGGGGAUUAGAUCCUCCACCAUUCAAUUUCUAACUUAUCAUCAAGGACGAUAUUAAAAAAAAUCAACACUAAUUGACAAAAAUCCUUAGUGGUGGUUUUUUUUUUUUUUUUUUUUGGUGGAGAAUAUAACUUACACUUACUAUCAUAAAGAAAUAAAUAUAAUUGACUACUAUCAUACCUUUUUUUUAAGGAACACAAUUAUAUAGGGGGCGGUAAGGAAAAAAUCUUAAAAUUGAUGUAAUUUACACUCACUAUCGUUAAGAAAUUGAUAUAAUUGACUAUAUCUUACUUAUUUUAAGUAAGUAAUAUACUUUUAAGUUUAAAAGGACAAUAUUUUACUGUCCUUAUCAAAUCAAUUUCUCUAGUGUUUAAAAAUUAUUUGAAGCGAAAUGUGGUGAACUUUUUUCUACUGCAUUGCUUAUGAUGUAUAUUGUAGUUACCCACCUUUUUUUAUAUUGAGUCUUAUACAUUACUUACAAAAUACAACUUAUAUUGAAUAAAGUUUUUAGAUUGUAAAAAUAAGGAAUAGACGAGAUCCUUUUUUGCUACAUAGCUGUCUUUUGUCUAUCAUUUUUCUUUCCCCACCCCCUUCAAGGCCCUGCUGCCUCAUCCAUAUAGCUUAAUUUGUUCGUUUAUUAAACGAAAUGAAUAGCGUGCUACACUUUCCUCAAAAAAAAAAAAAGGAAAAAAGAAAUGGAAAAAAGGAAAGGAUGCAAAGUUUUUUUUUUUUUUUUGAAGGAGAUCUUUCAAAUAUUGUUGAAUGAAGCUAAAAGAGGAGGUGAACGUACCACUGUGGUGAGAGAAUCAAACUUUAGAAAUAUAUAACAUGGGAGAAGAAAAGGGUAACCCUUUUCUCUCUCUACGUCGUACACCCAUCACCAUCAACCCUCUGACAGAGAUUACAUGCAAAAGCCAAGAUAGCAGCGACAAGAGAGAGAGAGAGAGAGAGAGAGAAUUAUCCUCUCAAAACCAACCAUUUUUUAUAAUUAAACUGUUAAGUACAGCCCCUCCAACUUCUCAUUAUGACUUAACAUCUCUUCUUUAUUUCUUUCCUUUUCUCUAAUCUAAUUACAUGCAUGAUCAUAAAAAUCCUUCAACUCCCUCCCUAUCUAGAUCUCUCUCUCUCUCUCUCUCUCUCUCUCUACCUGUGUGUGUGUGUGUGUUAGCAAUAACUAGAAAGGGAGAGACAAUUAUCAUCUUAAACGCAACCAUUUUUCAUAAUUACAAGUUAAUUAAUGUUAAGUACACCCUUCCAACCCCUCAUUAUGACCUAAUCUUAUUAUGUAUGAACAUAAAAAGCCUUCAACUACUCUCUCUCUCUCUCUCUUUCUCUCUAGUUUCUCUGACUAACAAAACCACCACAGCCACUACUUCCCCUAUAGGGAGAAGCUCCAAAGCAUGGCAUAGCUUUCACAGUCCCACCACAAAAAGGGUAGCGCUUUUCCUUUACCACAUAUACACCACAACAGUAACAGUAAUCACAUAUAACAACAACAACAACAACAACAAAGAAGCAAACCCAAACUCCAAACACCUUCUCUCUCUCCCCUUUAUAUCCAACCCCCACUUCCCAUUGCCUUUUAAAUCCCCCCCCUCUCCACCUCCAAAUCCCCUCAACUCACUCAUCACCCAUCCAUAUUCCAUACCCCAAAAGAGAAGCAAAAAUAUAUAUAUAAAAGAAGGAGAAGAAGAAGCUAGAGAGAGAGAGAGAGAGAGAGAGAGAGAGAGAAACUGAGAAACCCACAACUUCCACUUGUUGGGUACUCUCUCUCCCCCUCCUUUCUUUGUCCCUCCUCUCCAUUACUUGGUCUUCUCUCUCUCUCUCUCUCUCUCUCUCUCUCUCUCUCUCUCUCUCUCUCUCUCUGUGAUCUAAAACUUUGUUUCUCUUUGUACACCACCCAGUAUUUGAUGGGAAGAUGAUGAACCGCGCCAACCCCAACGACCCCUACGUCCCCUCCAUGAUGAUGUCCUUCGUUGGCCUCGACCCCAACCCCAACCCUAACCCUAACCCUACUAACCCCACCCCUCAAAGACUCCACCUUUCCGACCCUUGGGACCCCUCCCCCUCCUCCGCCGCCUUCUUCCCCAACUCCGGCGUCGGCGGCGGCGUCACCUUCCUCGACUACCCACCGCCCCCUCUCCUCCCCUUCAACACCACCACCGCCGCCGCCGCCGCCAACAUUAACGCCAACCCCAACUCCCCCUUCUACCCCACUUCCCCGACGCACGACUACCCGCCCUCGGCGGGCCUCGUGAAGCGCGAGGCCGACGCCGCCGCCCUCCUCCGCCCCGCCAUCGGCCUCAACCUCGGCCACCGCACCUACUUCCCCUCCGGCGGCGAUUCCGCCGCCGUCGCCAUCGACCGCCUCUUCUCCGCCCGCCCGCCCGCCCACGCCGUCCCGAGAGGCCUGCUGUACGCCCUCGGCGGUCUCGGCGGGAGUGGCGCGCACAACCCCGGCUACCAGCACUAUCACCACCACCACCAUCACCACCAGCCCCCCCGCUGCCAGGCCGAGGGCUGCGGCGCCGACCUCUCCGGCGCCAAGCACUACCACCGCCGCCACAAGGUCUGCGAAUUCCACUCCAAGGCCGCCGUCGUCGCCGCCAAGGGACUGCAGCAGCGCUUCUGCCAGCAGUGCAGCAGGUACCUAAAGUCGAAAUUAAAGAAUCAUAUAUAUUAACAUCAUCUUAUCCUAAUCCCAGUUUUAGUAUUUUGUUCUUACUUACUUUCUAUCAUUUUCUUUCUUUUUUUUUUUUUUAGAGAAUAACGAUUGUUUCAUAUAAUUUAAUAUAGUAUAAAAAUAUAAGAUUAAUUCUGUGUUCGAGUCACGUGAGAUUCCUAAUAUUAUUAAUUUUCUCUUAUUUGAUUCAAAUUCACGUCAUGUAUAUGUAUUUGACAACCGGUCUCUAAUCCGGACGUGAGAAAGAGUGUUAAAUGUAAAAUUAUUUAAAUAUUAUUUUUUUAUCAAUUUAAGUUUUUAAAAAAUAGCUAUUGUUUCGCAUAAUUUAAUAAUUUUGUUGUUUUUUUAUAUAUAAAAUUUUUGGAGGACAGUGUGGAGUUUCUCUAGAGAGCUAGAGAACCCCCGUGUGAUAGUUUGCUCUAUAUAUGAGUGUUGUUUUGGUGUAUAAAUAUAUUAAAGUAACACAACAAGAGAUUCUAUGUUCAAAAGAAAAAUUAACUACUUGUUUAAUGCAAAAUCUAUGUUUUAGCGCUACAAAAGCUUUCCAGCUGAGGAGAGAGCACAUUAAAUUGGGCCGUGAUUAAAUGACUAUUUUUAAUGGUUGUAGCUAUUAUUAUAUAAUAUAUCUAGAAAAACAAACAGGGCCUUACUAUGUAUGGGGACCCUUGGAUCACUUCCCUUCUUAGGCCAUUCACACCCAGCUUUGUUCUUUACUGAAUGCUUUAUAUAUAAUAUAUAUAUAUAUAUAUAUAUAUAUAUAUAUAUAUAUAUAUAUAUAUAUAUAUAUAUAUNAUGUAUGGGGACCCUUGGAUCACUUCCCUUCUUAGGCCAUUCACACCCAGCUUUGUUCUUUACUGAAUGCUUUAUAUAUAUAUAUAUAUAUAUAUAUAUAUAUAUAUAUAGAAUUGAACUCUUAUGUUUACCAUAGCUAUGGACUCUAUAUAUAUAUAUUAUAUAUAUAUAUGUAUGUAGAGGGAACACUAUUUGUUAUUUUAAGUACGAAUCACUUUCUCUCUUAAAUGAUAACUUAGUAUGUUUGUUUUUGUUCUCACCCUUGUUAUUAAAAGCUUCUGUCUCUCUGGAAACAGUAGUAGGAGAAAGAGCAGCAGAUCAGAGCCUCUGCCCCGCAUACUUGUGAACAUAUCUGUUACUUAUGGCUAUCACAUCUUUAUUGUGUUUUGUUCUCUCUCUCUCUCUCUCUCUCUCUCUCUCUCUCUCUCUCUUUGUGAUUGGAGAUAACCCAGACCCCAGUAGUAUAUCACUGACACACACACACACCCUAGCUGCAAAACCCAAUGCUAUAUAGCUAGCUUUUUCCCUUGUGAUAGAACAUAAAUCGAUCAACAGAAAUUAUUGCAACUGGUGCAUCAUAUAUAUAUAUUUUGCACUCCUAAAGUUGAUUAUAAAAACCACCAAAAUCAAAAUUUAAUUUUAUUACAUAUCCUUCAUAUGUGGCAUGUAAAGACAUAAUUUUUAAAGUAUUAUGUAUUAUUAAAAGUACACAUGUGGUCUAUGAUGCAAUUGGUGCGCCCAAUAAGUUUUCUAUGAAUUCACCAACCAUAGGGUUUCUUCUUUUCUAUGUGCAUCUCCCUUUACUUCUUUCCUGCUAACCUUUGGGCUUUUAUGACUGUAACCUGCUCCUAUUCUCUGCAGCUCCCACUGUUAAAUAAAAGAUAUAUAUAUAUAUAUAUACCCACUACAUACAUAUUACAUAUUUAUCUCUCCUCUCUCUAGCUAGUUUCUGGCCACUUCCCUUCUUUUACAGUCAUAUAUAUGGUAAGUAGGGGCAUUUUUCCUACUCAGCCCUAUAUAAAAAGAUAUAUGUGUAAUUAUUAUUAUUAUUAUUAUUAUUAUUAUUAUUUGUGGUUAGGUUCUAAUGAAUUAAUCAUAUAUAUAUAUAGUUUUACUUUUAAUGGUGUACAUGCAUGUAGGUUCCAUGUGCUCUCCGAGUUUGAUGAAGCCAAAAGGAGCUGUAGGAAGCGCUUAGCUGACCACAACCGCAGGAGGAGGAAGCCACAGGGAUCAACUCAAUCCACAGACUCUUCAAACCAAAAGAACAGCAACUGCAGCAGCUCACAGAAGAGCAAGCAAAGCACAAAGCCCACUAGAGACACUAGUAGUGAGUUUGAUCUUAAUUACUUCCUUUUUCGCGAAAUAGUUUUUCUCUAAAAGCUUAAACUACGCACUAGGCGAAGAGUUAGGGAAUUUCAUUAAUUAGGCACACAAAACAUAGACUUUUGAUUUAAAGUUUGUGUUAUUAUGUCAUCUAUAUACAGCAAUCACCACCAAGUCAACUACCACCAUAUCCAAUGCAAGUGUAAGCUUGGAGGGCCAAAACAAAGGGACUCAUUACAGGAAUGGACCAGCUUUAUCUCUUGGAGGAGUUGGAGUUGGAGUUGGAGUUGGAGUUGGAGUACUUGCAAUGGAGAGUAAGGGAGGGAAUAACAUGGACUCUGAUUUUAUGUACCAACAAAGCCAAGGGCUACACUAUGCUUCAUUUGUAGAGGAGAAGGUCUCCGAAGACGAAGAAGAAGACGACGACGAAGAAGAAGAAGAAGAGCAGCGCCACCACCAAGAGAUAUUGCAUCCUUUCUCCUCUGCGGAGUCCACCAACAACAACACCUUCUUCCACCACCACAACCUCUUCUCCUCCGCCGCCGCCGCCGCCGCCGCCGCCUCUGCCGAUGGCUCCCACUCAACCACGGAGGGCGGUGGCGGUGGCGACACGGCCACCGCCACCCUACACCAUCACCACCACCACCACAACCACCACCAAGGCCUCCACCUAGGGCAAGCCAUGUUUGAGGUGGACUUCAUGUGAUCAUCAUGUUAAUGAAGGAUAAGGAGAAAGAAAUUAAGGGUAAAAAGUUAAUGUACUAAUUAAGAGUUACCUCCCAACUAUGUUCUAUUUUGAAAUGUGCCCCUCAUCUUUAUUUAUUAUUAUUGUUAUUAUUUUCUCUAGUAUUCCUUUAACUUUGAGUUAUUCAGCUGGUCAACUAAAUUAAAAAUUUUAUUAAAUUUGAUGGCUUUAUUUAUUAGAUAAGUACUGAAAAGUGUUAAAAGCUUUCAUUAAUGUAUAAGUUAGUAAAAUUGCUAAUUUAUUCGACUAAAAUUAUUCAAAUUGUAGAUAUUAAAAGUUAAGAGCGCAUUGAUGAAGAAAUAAAAUAAAAUAAAAUUGAGGAGCUCAUUUUAAAGCUUCCUAGAGUUGAGGGGGGCUCCAUACAAUUUAACCAAAAGAAAACGUGUGGAGUGAUAUAUAUAUAUAUAUAUAUAUAUAGAGAGAGAGAGAGAGAGAGAGAGUAGGGAAGAUUGAGUUAUGAUAUACUUUAGAAGUAGCUAAUAUCUUUGUGCUUCUAAGUUUAAUAGCCCUUGAAUCUACUCCUUAAUUACUAAUAACCCCUUGAAUCAAACACUAUCCACCUACACACCAACCACCACCACUAUCAUCAACAACUACACUUCUCUAAUCCAAUAGUUAAAAACUCAAAAGCAACCACCCCCAUUGAUGCUUGAGAGUAUUCUAGCUCCAAUCUCUCUCUCUAGAGAAGAGAAGAGAGAGAAGAGAGAGAUAUAUACAUAUAUAAGAAGAGAGAGAGAGAGAGAGAGUUGAGCUAGAAUACUCUCAAAAGCACCAAGGGAUGAUGUUUUUGAGUUUUUAACCAUUGGAUGGAGAGAUGUAAGGUUGAGAUGAUGGUGGUAAGUGGUAGUAGGUGAAAUAGUAUUUGAUUUAAGGAUUAUUAGUAAUUAAUUAUAAUUAAGGAGUAAAUCCAAAGGUAGAAACUUAGUAGCACUUAAUAGUUGAAUGCAACCAAACAAAUUUUCAACUGCAUGCAACCAAACAAAUUAUUUCUAGUUGUAGUGCUUUCUACUACUUCCAACCAAACAUCAUGCAUAUAGUCGCAACUGCUAUAUUUCUAACUACAUGCACCUCUAAGGUUCGGUUUGGUUCGGGGAUAAAGCGUGGAUAAUGAAAGUUAUCCCCUCUAUUCCGCUAAACGAGAUAUUUUUUCACCGAUAUAUUUUAUUCCGGUCAAACCUUGUUAUUCCUAGCUAUUUCGGAAUAGCUUGAGAUUUACUAUUCCACCAUUUUGACAAAAUAAUACUAUUUCAAGAUUUAAUUUCAAAUUUUAUUAAAAUUAUAAAUUGAAUUAAAAUUAAAUUAUAUAGAUUUAAUAUGUUAUAUAUUAUAAUAUGUCAAUUUUAUUAUAAAAUUUUUAAUUGUACUAUAUAAAUAUUAUCUAUAUGUAAAUAUUAUAAUAAAUUUUAUAAUAAAUUAUAUUUAAAUAUUAUAAUAAAUCAUUUUUAUUAAAUCAUAAUAAAUUAUUUUUACAAUAAUUAUUUUUAUAAAAAUUAUUUAUAUUAAAUUAUAUUUUUUAUCAAAUUUAAAUAAUUGUUUUUUUUUACUACCCUCUACUAUUUCAUAAAAUUAACCAAACAUAAUUUUAAUUAUUUUUAGAAAUACCAGCAUUACAAACCAAACAUAAUUUUAUUUUUAUUCCUGACUAUUCCAGUAUAGCAAGCAAUUUCAGGGAUAAAAAAAUUUAUCCCAAUGUUCGUUAUUCCCAAACCAAACGGGGCCUAACUAUACUGCAUUUGUAAUUUCAUCAAACCAAACGGCCCCUUAGUGUUUGUAAGAUUUUCGUCGUUUGAUCAACCCCGUUAACCAUUUUUAUCUGUUAAAUCAUACCAUUCAACCAAUUACUCACUCAAUCCUAAAGAACGACUAUCGCCCUAAACGCAUAUCUCUUAAUCCAAAGAUCGAAAACAUACAAGCACCGUGACUUAGUACUUUCAAAGUCAAAGGAGUUUAAGUAAAUUAUUGGGCUCAAUCCAACUCAACUUACUAGCUAGUUACCUAAAUCUAUUAUCCCCGCGUUACAUCUAUUUUAACCAAUAAUUAAUAGUCAAUAAAUAGUUGUGGACAAUUUUCAGCUUUUUGGCUCGUAUAAUUAAAACUUAAAAUUAAUUGUGGACACACCUUCCUUUGACCACGAAACUGGUUCCACUGACCAAAUUGUGCAUCAGUUUGUCAGGAAACAGUUCAUCAGUUUGUCUUUAAAAAAAAAAAAAAAAAUUCUGAAAAUUUGGUUCAGAUGUGUUCCCCAAAAGAACCAUCAAUUCAUUAAGCAGUACUCAUGCUUUGUUCUUAUUUACUGUUCUUCUGUAAUAAUUUUAUGGUAACACUAAUUACUAAUAGAGUACGGCUUGUAUACUUUUAGAAGCACGAAAACAUCCGUGCUAUACUUUUGAAAAUAUAAAAAAGUUGGUGCUUUCGAUCUUUUUACUUUUGGAUCAAGAACCAUACGUAGAAUUAGAAUAAUAAUGAUCCUUCUUAGGGUUGAGUGAUCUCCUUAGUAUUUAGUAGCCCUCUAGAAUAAUAAUAUUACUCCAUAGACUAGAAAUGAUCAAAGAGUUUGAUUCAAGGCUUAAAAAUUUGAAAGCACCAACAACUUUUUUAUACUUUCAGAAGCGCCAUAGUUGGACUCUCUCUCUCUCUCUCUCUCUCUCUCUCUCUCUCUCUCUCUAUAUAUAUAUAUAUAGUCUGGUUGCAAUACUAUUAAUAAUAUCAAAUGCUUAGUGCUAUCAAAUUUUUUGCCGUUAAAUUUAUUUCUUUGACCAUUUUCACCUGUUAGAUCAUACUAUUCAACUAACUAUCUGUGAGAUCAUCCGGCAUAUUUUUUCAUCUAAAUAUCGAAAAUCUAAUAGCACUAAUAACUUUGUGUUAUUUUUAUUUUUCUAACCUAAUUCUAUAUAUGUGUGUAUGCAUUAUUAUAAAGUGUUGUACUAUGAAAGGGACGUUGAUAGAGAAAGAGCUACAGUGUGGGGCCUCACACCAUAAAAUUAAACCAGUUCGCCAUCUGGUGAGGAGGAAGUAUCAUAAUACAGAAAUUUAUUCAGUACAAUAUGCAUGGUAGGAGAUGUGGCCACAAAUAAGCUCGCAUCUUAAAGCAUUCUUUUCAAACACUAGUGUGAGGCAGAGUUGUUUUUUUUUCUCCUCGUGCGCCUAAGAGAGAGAGCUCAAAAUUUUAGAAAUAUUUUUUUUUAUUUUUAUUUUUUAAUAUAUUCACAAUAUAUUUUUUUAUUAUUUUAAAAUAUUUCUGCAGUUACUAUCCGUUAAGUUAACUUGGGUUAAACGUCAGUUAAAUAUCUAUUAGAGUUAAAAAAAAAAUCAAGCAAAUAAAAAAUAUUGGUGAUGGUAGAAAGUUAUAUUUGAAAAGAUCAAAAAUCAAAACACUUUUUGUACCCCUAGAGCAAAUAAAAAAAGUCGGUAAUAAUGGUGGAAGUGUAUAUUUGAAAGAGCAAAAUAGUAAUUUCAUACAGAUAACAGUUAUUAUUUACAGUUCAUUAAUAGAAUUUAACGCACUAGGGGUAUAUUUGAAAUAGAUUGGAACGUAAAAUUUUUUUUUUUAAUAUUAGCCUUCUAAGAGAAAUAAAUCAGAAAGUCGAAAAUUUUAUAGAAAUAUAUAAACAAUUAUCCCAAUAGAAAAAUAUUAAGUUAAAGAUCCAAAAGAAGUCAAAAUCCAACAUCGCUCCAUCAUUUACGAUUUUGAUAUAAUAAAAAAAAAAGAAGAGAAUCAAUAAGAGUAGUGUAAUGGCAUAUAUAGUUAAUCGUAUUAAUUUCAUCCCACAUUUUGCCUGUCUCAAAUGUGCCAAAAAAUUUUACAUAACUAAUUAAUUUGGCUAUGAAAAUUUUUAUAGGAUUAUUUAGAGCUAGGCUUGUAUAUGCUUUUAGAAGCCUGGUGAUCUCUGUGCUAUCAAGUCGUUUUUGAUACUGAAAUUUCCGAAUCGACAAUUUAUUUUGUUAGACUUAAUUUAAAGUAUUUAAAAAAUAAAUUUCAUAAUUUUUCAAUAUCAUUUACCUAAUUAUUGAAGAGGCCGAAAAUCAAUAAUUUUAAUGAUCGUGGUGAAACAUUUGCAAGUUUAAUGAUUUAGAAAAAUGAAAAUCAUAUAAUAUUUUGAUAGAAAAUUUAUUAUACUACAUAAAAUAAAAUCAAUAUUUUUGAUCUAAAAUUUUUGUAUCAUAUUAUCACUUUUUAUAAGAUUUUUUUAUUUUUAGCUAUUAAUUUUGAGUCAUUUCAAUCGCUAAGUAAAUGAUAUUGAAAAAUCACGAAAUUAAUUUUUCUAGAUACUUUCAAUAUUCUAUAUCAAGUCUAACGAAACCGACCGUUGAUUUAAAAUUCAAGUAUUAAGAGCGACUUGAUAUGCACCUCAAAACCAACUUAAAAAAAAAAAAAAAAAAAUCUUUCGUGCAUAGUCCUCUAAAAUUUGACGAGGGUACGUAAAAAUAAAGAUAAACUUUAAAUACCACCUCUAUAGUUUUGUACUUUCUCACUUUAGUACCAUGUGGUUUAAAGUGUAUCAAUUUAGUACCCCAUAGUUUCAUUUUUAUCUUUUCGUCAGCUUUUUCGUUAAUAUUUCGUUAAAUUAUAUACAAAAAACUUCAAAUACCUAUCCGGUGAUUUCACACUUUCUCACAUUAGUACCCUAUGGUUUAAAGUGUAUUAAUUUAGUAUCAUGUGGUUUAUUUUAACUUUUUAUUAUUGAUUCCACUAAUUUUUUUCGUUAAAUCAGUGACAAAGUUAAAAUUAAGAGAUACUAAAGUGAAUAUUCGAUAAACCUAGGUAGGGUAUUUGAAGUUUCCUUAAUAAUAGAAAAAACUUCAAAAACCACCCUUGUGGUUUCACACUUUCUCACAUUAGUACCCUAUGGUUUAAAGUGUAUUAAUUUAGUAUCAUGUGGUUUAUUUUAACUUUUUAUUAUUGAUUCCACUAAUUUUUUUCGUUAAAUCAGUGACAAAGUUAAAAUUAAGAGAUACUAAAGUGAAUAUUCGAUAAACCUAGGUAGGGUAUUUGAAGUUUCCUUAAUAAUAGAAAAAACUUCAAAAACCACCCUUGUGGUUUCACACUUUCUCACAUUAGUACCCUAUGGUUUAAAGUGUAUUAAUUUAGUAUCAUGUGGUUUAUUUUAACUUUUUAUUAUUGAUUCCACUAAUUUUUUUCGUUAAAUCAGUGACAAAGUUAAAAUUAAGAGAUACUAAAGUGAAUAUUCGAUAAACCUAGGUAGGGUAUUUGAAGUUUCCUUAAUAAUAGAAAAAACUUCAAAAACCACCCUUGUGGUUUCACACUUUCUCACAUUAGUACCCUAUGGUUUAAAGUGUAUCAAUUUAGUACCCCAUAGUUUCAUUUUUAUCUUUUCGUCAGCUUUUUCGUUAAUAUUUCGUUAAAUUAUAUACAAAAAAUUUCAAAUACCCCACCUAGGUUUAUCGNUUUGCAAGUUUAAUGAUUUAGAAAAAUGAAAAUCAUAUAAUAUUUUGAUAGAAAAUUUAUUAUACUACAUAAAAUAAAAUCAAUAUUUUUGAUCUAAAAUUUUUGUAUCAUAUUAUCACUUUUUAUAAGAUUUUUUUAUUUUUAGCUAUUAAUUUUGAGUCAUUUCAAUCGCUAAGUAAAUGAUAUUGAAAAAAAAAAAAAAAAAUCUUUCGUGCAUAGUCCUCUAAAAUUUGACGAGGGUACGUAAAAAUAAAGAUAAACUUUAAAUACCACCUCUAUAGUUUUGUACUUUCUCACUUUAGUACCAUGUGGUUUAAAGUGUAUCAAUUUAGCAUCCUAUUUUUUCAUUUUUCUCUUUUUAUCGGUCCCUCCAUUAACUUUUCGUUAAAUCAUAUACCAAAAACUUCAGACACUCUAUUUGUAGGUUAUCGAAUAUUCACUUUAGUGCUCUUUAGUUUUAACUUUGUCACUGAUUUAGCGAAAAAAAAAUUAAUAGAUGGGAUAACAAAAAGCGAAAAAUAAAACAACAGAGUACAAAAAUGAUACACUUUAAAGCACAUAGUACUAAAGUGAGAAAGUGCGAAACUAAAGGAAUGGUAUUUGAAGUUUUUCCUAAAAUUAAAUUUCGUGCUCCAUCUGGCCCAAUUCGAAAGCGACAACGCCCACGGCUAAAUUUUGGGCCUCGUGGGCCGGCCUACUAUCCACGCUCUCAUUCGUCAUACAUUUUAGGAGCAAUUGUUUAUAUAUCUCUGAAAAGUUUUAGACCUUUUAAUUUAUAUUUUUAGAAGACUAAUACUGAAAAUACUUUUUUUACGUUUCAACGUAUGUCAAAUAUAUCUCUAAAGUUAAAUUCUGUUAAUAAACGGUUAGCAAUAGCUGUUAUUUGUAUAAAAUUACUAUUUUGUCAUUUCAAAUAUACUCUUCUACGAUCACCUACUUUUUCUUAUUUGCCCUUAAGUUGGCACAAAAAGUAUUUUAAUUUUUGUUAUCUUUUCAAAUAUACCUUUUUAUCAUCAUCAAUAUUUUUUAUUUGUCCUUAAGUUAAGGGUAAAAGAGGUAUUUUAAUUUUUUUAAACUCUGAUAGAUAUUUAACUCACGUUUAAUUUUAGGGAUAUUUUGGAAUAACGGAGGAACAUAUAAGGGGUAUAUUGGAAAGAAAAAAAAAAGUGAGGAUAAAUGAGAUAUUUUCGAAGUUUUGAGAAGUAUAUAGGCAAUUAUUUGUAGAUUUAACGGUAAAUUUCAAAUACCACCCAUGUGGUUUCACACUUUCUCACUUUAGUACCUUGUCGUUUAAAAUAUAUCAAGUUAGUACCCUGUGGUUUUAUUUUUAUCUAUUCAUCAGCUUCUUCAUUAAUAUUUUAUUAAAUUAUAUACAAAAAAUUUCAAAUACCCCACCUAGGUUUAUCGAAUAUUCACUUUAGUAUCUCUUUGUUUUAGUUUUGUUACUGAAUUAAUAAAAAAAAUUAAUGGAAUUGAUAAUAAGAAGAGAAAAAUAAAACCACACGGUACCAAAUUGAUACACUUUAAAUCACAAAGUAGUAAAGUGAGAAAGUGCGAAACCAUAAGAAUGGUAUUUGAAGUUUUUACUAUAAUUUAUAUUGAUCGUUUCUAAAGUAAGUGACAAGAAUUUUCAAUUUUAAGUCUGUUUGGUUUUACAAAAAAGUGUAAAAAAUUUGUUUGAGAAAAAAAAAAUUUCAUAGGUAACCACUUUUUAAGUUUGCUGCCUAUUGGAUCUGAAGAAAAUGACCUUUUUUUUAAAGAUUUUUUUUUUCAAAUUUUGUGCAAAACUACUGGUUUUGUUUUCUAAUUUUUUUUUUUUUUAAGGAAAGCGAGAAAAAUUAUUUUUCAUAAGAUCCGAAAAAAAAAAAAAAAAGCUUUGCAAAGUAACUAUUUUUUUUUUUUGGGAUAACUUUUAAAACUCCCUCUGUAGUUUUGCAACUUCUAUGUGUGUAUCUGAAAGUUUUUUGUAUAUAAUUUAACGAAAUAUUAAAAAAAAGUUUGCCGAAAAAAUAAAAACAAAACAACCGGAGGACAAAUUGAUACACUUUAAAUUAUAGGAUACCAAAGUAAGAAAGAAACUAUAGGGGUUUUUUCGAAGUUUUUCUUUUUUUUUUUGAAAGCUAAACAGGUGAAAAGUUUUUUAAAGAAUUGGCCUAUAUUCGAGGGGUCUAGGUGCAUUUUUACCAAAAAGCUUCGGGAGCUCGCCCACUCUCACUCCCCGCACCAUUCCAUGAGCUCGGAUAAUAAUCCCCUCGAUCGAUCUCGUCCUCACCCUCUCCACCGAAACCCUAACGAAACCCUAAUCGCUCUCCGAAGCUCGGCUGCGGCGGCGGAGGAGGAGGGAGGGAUCCGAGCCCUCCUCUCGACCUUGGGGGCGCUCAUGGCGGCGGAGAUCCCGAUCGGCCGCGUCGCCCUCCGCCACCUCGUGCGGUUCCUCGCCGCCGUUCUCUACUUCCACUCCUCCGAGUACGCCCUCGCCGUCGCCUUCCAUGGCCGCUUCAACGUUUCCCCUGCUUGUGAGCUCUAAUUUCGAUACUGUUUCGUAUUGCAGUGUGUUCAAAUUUGAGGUUUAUCUUUUGUUUUGAUCUAUCCUGUUUCAAAUGUUGAAGGGUGAAUGAGAGCAUUAAAUUUGAGUAUUUUUGGUGGUUGGUCGGUGAGAUUUGUGCAAUUUGAGAAUUGGAGCAUUUCACAGUUUCUUUGAUGAAACCAAAUAUUUUUAUUUGUUCUGAGUUCUUUUCAUCAUUGAAUAUUGUCGAGUUACAGAUAAUUAUUGUAAAAGGUAAGGUUUCUACAGGGAUAUUGCAUCAGAUGCUAGAAUUUUUGGGGAAAAGAAGCUUAAAUUGUACAAGAAUAUGUAUUUAAUUUUCUAAAUCUAGGUAACCUAAGCAAUGGAUGACUUAAUUUUAUGCUGCAUUGAGGAACGAAACAUAAAAAUGUAGUUGUUGGGGACCAAAUCGGAGACCCCUGGUGCAACUUACCCUUUAAUUUACUAUGCGCUGUCCUAAAUAUUUAUGUCAAAAGUUCAAAUUUUAAUACUAAUGUUUCUUUUGCAGCACUUCUGAUCAGCAAACAGUAUAUUGCUGCGAUGAGUUGUGCGGUGCUUGAAUAUGUGAUAGAGAUUCUUCUCUUUCCCUCCUUGAAGGAGUAUUGGUGGGUCAGCAAUUUCGGCAUCGUGAUGAUUAUCGUCGGGGAGAUCAUCCGUAAAGCUGCUGUUCUAACAGCCGGUCGUUCCUUCACACACACCAUCAGGAUUUAUUACGAAGAUCAUCAUGAGCUGAUUACUCAUGGAAUUUAUAGGUAAUGAUCAUUCACCUGAUUUACUUAAUGAUUUAGAUCAUUCUGAAGCUGAGUUUUGAGCUAAUGUUUAAAGGAAAAUUGAGAAUUUAUUGGACAGAAUGCUAAACAUUUAGUUUGCAAAUACCAAUUUUUGACUCUUUGUUCUGCAGCUUUAGUACAUACCAGAACAAACACAUCUUGGUAAUUUAAUGUACCUAAAGUUGUUUAUCUAGGCAAUUCAAAUUGGUAAAAAUACUGUGACCCUCUUAACUGUAGUAAAUUUUAAAUUUAGAAUUUAGACCCUUUAACCUUUUUUUUUUUCUCUUUUCCGGGGUGGGGGUGGGUUGCGAACCCUAAAUUUUUGUUAUUAUUAUUAUUAUUAUUAUCAUCUUUUCUACUCGAGUCAUUUCGGUCAGUAGAAUUGCCGAUUAUGGUAAGUUUAAUGAUUUCAUUAGCUAUUAUUUUGUAAUAUUUAGUGGAACCUACUGUUUCAUAUGAUUAAUGGCGAUUAGAGUAGUAGAUUUUAACUAAUCAUCCGAAUUAAACAUAACUGCUGAUUUUACUGACAUAAGGAACUCAAAAGUGAAAGAUCAAAAGUUGAGAAGGUGUCAAUCAGAAGAAGUAAAGCUCCUUAGUUGAUUCUUAAUAGAAAGUUUCCUCAUUUUCUCGUGUCUUCCGACUCUUCAUAACCAGCCCAGCGUACUUUUGCUAGCUGUCAUAGCCAUUUUAUUCUAAAAUGCCCUUUUUUUCAUCAAACCGUACGUAAAUCUGGAUUAGCUAGAAACAAUUCUGACGGGGUUUUAUUCUAGAUCUUAAUCAAAUUGCUGGUAUUUCUUUAAUUUAUUGUGGUCUAUUGGUGUUGUCACGCAUAUUGGUGUUGGAAUGUCCUUGCUGUUGAUUUCUAUCAUUUCUUGUGGUCUAUGAUAUCACAUUUUGAUGUAUUUGUUAGCUCUUUAGGUGAAUCUAGUGGAAGAAAACUUAUCAAACCCUAUAAUCCUAUGUAAAUUCUAAUAUUCUCGGGGUACAAUGCAUAAAUUUUCUACAUUUUGGCCAAUCUUGUAACUGUACUAAUCUUUGCUUUCUAAUUAAGCAGAUUCAUGCGGCAUCCUGGUUAUUGCGGCUUCUUCAUCUGGGCAACUGGAACCCAGGUUAUGCUCUGCAACCCGGUCUGCUUCAUCGCCUUCGUCUUGGUCUUAUGGAGAUUCUUCUCUAGACGGAUACCGUAUCCUCUUAACACUAUGAUUUUGCGAUGUCAUUUACCUCAUCCUAUGAGGAGAUUCAUUCUAUUUAAAGCUCUUUGCCUGACGAUGAAACAAAGGUUAAUUUUCCGUUUCCCUUCCUCAUAGUUCAGUUCUUCGAGCUUGCUAAUCCUUUACUAAGUUACAGUUAUGAGGAGUAUUUCCUGAGGCAGUUCUUCGGACGCCAGUAUGUGGAAUACGCACGCAGAGUGCCGUCUGGCAUCCCUUUCGUAAGAUGAUAGUCUUGCUGAUUGUGUAAGUAUAUACGCGAAAUCCUAUUUGGUAUUCAGGACUUCUUUGGCGAAGCCGGAGCUUGUAGAAGUAUUGUUUGUCUAAAGCUGCUUGUACAAAGCCUACCGUAUGUCAUCAUUUUGCGUAAUACCGAACUGAAACAUCCCAUUCACCGACAGGUAAAAUAUUACCUGGCUCAACAAUGCGACAUGCAUGGGGUGGCUGCGUCAAUCCAUUGGCCAGAAGGGUUAUCAAACUUGCGCUCUUUAUGCAAAUUUGAUUACGAAGAAAUGGCGCCGCCAUGUGUAAAUUGAAGGAAUAAAGGACAUAGCAUUCCACUUGAUCAUUUGGUUGGCGCAACUGGAGAGCACUGCAAAUAACAGAGCCAUGGCCACAAAGAAAGAGAUGUAGCAUAUACUAUGCUUCAGGCUUAUUUGCAUUUGAUGCUUCAUAACUUUUAAACAAUUUGAUGUGUUUCAAAAAAAAUUGUAGGACAUUUUGGAGAUCUUUGAUCAAAUUAUCCCCGAGUUGGCCAUUUUAAUGUUUGGUACAAUGAUGUUGUUGAAAUGCCAGUGUAGAAUAUUGUAGAUCAGUUAGAUUUUUGUUCUGAUAAUAUUGUGAGUUCAUCAAUUGGUCAUUUGGAUUCAUCUGAUGCGCAAAAAGAUUUAGACAUUUGAAUAAUGUUGCUGAUAUCUAUUAAGAUGGAUAUUAUGAAAAGUGAUUCUGUGUUGGAUGAGAGAUUUAAACUUGCAAAGCACUGGAACUGAACUCGAGUUUGAUGCAAUUGGUUAGAUCUGGUUGAAUUCAUCUCGAACCCUAUGCAGUUGGGCUCGAACCGGACGUGUUUUCGGGUUCAUCAGUGGCUCGGAAACCUUAAGGGCGUGUUUGGUCGCUUCUUUUUUACCCUAGAAUCGAAAUCGGAAUGGAUGAAUCUGUUUGUAGGUGUUUGGUAUGCGGGAGUUUCAUUCCGAUUACGAUUUCCGAGUGGAAUAGGAAUUUUCCAAUCAUCUCAUUUUUCAAUCCGGCUUAAAAGGCCGAAUUGAAAGUUGAAUCCAGACGGAAUAGAUAUUUAUUCGGAUUAAAUUUAUUUUUUCAACUUUUUUAAUUAAAAUAUGAGUUAAAAUUUAAAAAUUAAAUAUAUAAUUUUAAAUUUUAAUUUGAACUUAAAUUAAAAAUUUAAAUUUAAUCAAGUAUUUCGAAUCUAACUUAUGAAUUUGAAUUUAAAUUAAAUUUUAAUUUAUAUAAAGUUUUAUUCAAAUUUUAUUUCAAACUUAAAUUAAAUUUAUGGAUUCAAAUUAAAAUUUAAAUUAUAAUUUUAGUUUGAAUUUGAAUAAAUUAAAAUUUAGUUUCAUAAUUUGAAUUAUCCACUCAACUUCAAAGUUGAAUUUUUUUUAAAAAAAAUAGAUUUAAAAUUUUGACAUUAUUUCAAAAUUUUGAUAUAAUUUUUUAAUAUUUAAUUUUUAAUUUGAAUUUAAAUUAAUAUAUUAUAAAGAUAAUGUUAAUAUAUUAAUUUGAUUACGUUUUUUAUAUCCAUCUAAACCAAAUACCGAUAGUGGGAAUGAUUAUUUCGAUUCCAAUUCAGGUGACGAACCAAACAGAAUUAGGUAAUAAGUCAUUCCGAUUCCGAUUCCAGCUUAUUUUGAUUCCGAUUCCAAUUCCAACUCCGACUUCGAACCAAACACGCCCUAAAAGUAACUUCAUUUGAGUUGAAAUGAAUCAAAUUUCAUUUUAUCAUCAAAUGAUGUCAUUAAUGAAUUACUUGCACUUUCAAUCAAAAUUCCCUCGAAAAUUAUUGUGUUGGUUGGCUCAAUUCGACCAUGCACGAAACUGGAUCAAAUCGACAACCAUUUUGAUUUGAGAACCACCGGUUCAUGUGGUGCCAACCCAACCCAACCCAAACCAAGCCAAACCAAUUUGGGUUUUUAGACAUUUUUUUAAGGGUAAAUUGCACCUUCUGCCCUCAAACUUUGAGUCGCGCGAUAUUUUAAUACUAAAAUUUCAAGUCAUUAUAAAUUUUACUUAAAAUUUUAAAUUAUUAUAACUAAAUUUGAUAGUUUAAUUUAUUUAAUUAAAUAUUAAUAGUUUAUUGGUAUAUCAGUACCGUGACAUCUUUAUAAUUAUGAGCGCAUAAUUUGAGAAAGAAGUGCAAUUUAGAAAAAUCCAAAGGGGGUAAAUGUUAAAAUAUCAUAAAAGUCUCUUUUCGCCGAGAUAAAUCGGCAGAGUUCUUCACAAGUCUCUCUCUUCCUUCCCUGAGGAAUUAGUGCAUGAACCUGGUCCACCAUUUAGUUUAUUAUAUGUUAGAGUAGAAAAGAAAUCUGAAUAUUAAAAGCAUAUAAUAAAUGCCAAUUUUCCAUAAACACAUGUUACACAGCCACUAAAUUAUGUAUUUAAAAAUUUUAACAUAUUUAUUAUCAUACACCGGGUGCGGUGUGUGAUGUAAACAUAUGCACCGGGUGCAUGCAUUGAAUGCAUCCUCUCCCCAAUUUUCGAGUUCUAUAAAUAGGCCGAGAAAGUCCCAUGUCUUUUUCGUUCCCUUUUCCAUUUUUUUCACCUAACUUUUUUUUUUUCCAUUUUUUUUUUGCCCAUCGAUUCCUCCGUCGUCGUCUUCCUCACUGCGUUCGCAGCUCCGUCGACUGCGAGAGUAGGAUUAGGGUUAGGGUUUCAACAAGCUCCACGCUCGCCGGUCUCGGGAUCGCCGCGAUGGCGGCGGCGGCGCCACUGCCAUAUGUGGAGUUGUGCAAGGGCAUCAACGGCCUCGAGAAGGUCGUGCUUCGGGAGGUCCGGGGAAGCUCCGCCGAGGUCCUCUCUCUCUCCUCUCUCUCUCUCUCUCUCUCAUGAUCCAUUUUUCCCUCUAAAUCGAUUCAUCUCGUUGUUGUUUGAAUCCUUCAUAGUAUUGGGCUAUUGUAACUGGAUUUGUUAUAGAUCUCAUACUCAUUUUCAUCUGAUCUAAUCAGUUUAAGGAUAUUCCGUAGAAAAAAAAAGUAAUGACUGCUCGAUUCUAGCAAUUGGGAUCGUCCUGAUGUUGAGAAUUAGGGUUCUUUGACCGAGCCAUUAAUCCUUGUUCGAGUCUCCGUCUGGGACACUUCACAUCUGGUGAAAUCGCCGAAGGAGAACAAAUUAGUUUAAAGUUUGAUUUUUUAUGUUUCAACAUGUUUCCUUUUCUUAGAUGUACCUAUAUUCUUUGUGGCAUGCGUUUUCAUGAGAAGGACAGCGAGAAUUGGAUAUUAGUGUGUGGAAACUUGAGGUAUGGAUUUAUAUCGUACUCCAUUAUUGGAUAUUCCACCAUUAGAUUGGUCAAAUGUUUAGCAUGCUGUUCGGCCACUAAUUUGUCAUGAGCGAGGAGAGGUUUUUUCAAAAAAAUUGUAUUUAAAGUUUUAAACAAUAAUAAUUUAGGUGGGGUCCCUAUUUGCCUUCAAUGAGCUGGCUUUGCUUGGUCUUAUCCAUGUUUAGGUUUGACAUUAGCAUUAUCUUUCUCCUUGUGCUAAUUUAACUGCCUGCAUAGUUCUUUUUUCUAUUCACAGUACUUGUUUCUUUCUAAUCUACCAUUUUUUUAAUGUAAGUAUGGCUGAUGCUGCUUACUAUAUUCACCAUUUUUUAAGAAUACAGGUCUUAUCAUCUCCGAGAUGAGAUUUUCCUAUAAAAUAUAGCUAGGUCAUUGAGUUAUCUGAUGUUGGCAAAGUCAAGUGCCAUGAGACUGGCAUAACAUGCUUUAAGGAUAAACGUUAUCUUCUGAUGCUCUCUUCUGUAAAAUAAUUUCUAACGUGACUUCCCAUUUUCUUAAUUUUCCUUAGCUUACCUAGUAAUGAUCGGUUAUUCUUACAUCUUCUUUCGAUGUUUAGGUUCUGCCUCAAAAUUUUUUGGUAGAAACCUUCAAUAACUACACAGCUUUCAUAUCUUUUGAUUACUAGGUGGUGUCAACUGCAUGAAACUAUGGUUUAUCCAUCAUAUGAAUCUUCUUAUGCCAUGUAAUCCUAGUUGGAGCUAUGUGCUCCCCUAAAUUGCAGUGCACAAUUCUUCUCUUAUCACAUCAUGCUGUGCAACAUGUGGAUUAUUAUAUCUCUUUUCGUAUUUAUCAUUUACUUGGAUAAUCUCUUUCUUACAACAAAGUUGUUGCAUCUUCGUGUUCCAUUUAGCUAUAUAAUCUCCACUGUGAUUUACUUAAUAAUUAAUGUAGGUGAUACUAAGAUGAAACACUUAAGAGUACUUUGGCCUCUUGCAUGUUCUUGUUCUUUUUAUUCAGCUGCUGUGGUUCUUGUUAUUGCUGUGUCUGUUCUUGUUUGCUGUUAUUCAUUUCCUCUUAAGGCCUUUUUCUUAGGUGUCCAUUCAUCUUCUUCGUGUAAUAGAUAGCUAAGGUGGUUUGCUUCAUGUUUGCUUGAAAUAGAUAUAAUUGCCCACCAUCCUUAUAAACUUGAAACUGGAAGAACAAUUGCUGUUUGUAUAUUAAAUACUUUUAAGCUUUUGUCCUCUGCUAUUUACACUCUUUCGUUUGCUCACAGGUUUACUUGUAUGGAGGUCAAGUAACAUCUUGGAAAAAUGAAGGGGAGGAGCUACUCUUCAUCAGUAGUAAGGUACCGAAAAUUCUCCUUCAUUCUGAAUAUCAAUGUCAUUGCAUGGGUAUUGUGCGAAGAUGACAUUUUCGAAAUGUUCUCAAGUCAUUUCUUUUUUUUUUUUUUGAGUAAAUAGAGUUACAUUGGUACUCUUAUCUCUGUUUGCAGUAUUGGUUCUGUUUACAUGAAUAUAUUAAGUUUAGACGAUUCGCUGGAGAUGUGCUCUUAGUGAAUAGGUGCUUUAUGUGGUUCACUGUGGUGGCAACUUGAAUUUCUUUCAGAGCCUGUUUGGAUGCCGAAUAUGUUAAGUUAUAACUUGUGUCUUUGGGGUUUCUUAUGGUGAUCGACUUUAGUCCGUUAAAAGGUCCUUAAAAUCAUGAUAUUAAGAUUUUUGCAUUCUACAUAUAUCAUACUCUUAAUAGUUGAGAUUAGUUAUCUUGGAAGUGACGAGAAAAAUUAGAGAGCUUAAUGCACAUUGGUAUUGUUAAUCUUUUUCUUCCCUUCAAUUCAUAUGCUUUUGAAGGCUCCUUGGGAGGGUUUUAACUUAAUUUGCUACUGUGGAUUGUUUUUAUAUUCCCCAUUUAUGGCUUUUCCUGCUCGUAUCCCUGUUUUUUCGCCCUUUAAAAAUGACUUUGCAAACUAACCAAUAAUAACAAGAAUAAAGAAGUUCAUCCCUAGGUGCCUGUAAUCGCAAGGAACUUUUGGAAUGCCAGACACCCUUACUCUUUCACUUUCAAAAUGUAGCCAAUUGCCACCUCGGUAUCAUCAUAUAGCAUCUUGUUGUUACUAGCACUCGCCAUCGAUCUGACUAUACCUUUAGGGGCUGUUUGGCUCUACGUAAAAUUGGGAAAAAGAAAAAUUUCGGUGGCGAAAAUUUUUUUUACAGCUUUUAGUGUUUGGUUCAUAGGAAAAGAAAAAAAAAAGUUUUCAACCUCACUUGUUUGCUUGAAAGGAAUUUUUUUUCUUUUAUUAUAUAUCCUAUAUAUUAUUUAUUAUAUUAAAAUUAUAUAAUAUGAUAAAUUGAUAAGCAUAUAAUAUAAUAUAUGUAAUAAUGUGCAUACAAUGCUAUAUAAUAGAAAUAUAUAAUAUUUAUAAUAAAAAUAUAAAAUAUGUAUAAUAAUUUUUCAUCCUCAUAUAUAUAUAUAUAUAUAUAUAUAUAUAUAUAUAUAUAUAUAUUACUAUAUAGACUUAGGAUGCGUAUACUAUCGGUAGCACGGAGGUCUCCGUGCUACCAAGUUGUUUUCAAUAAUGCGGCUUUUAAAUCGACAAUCAGCUCUGUUAGAUUUGAUCUACACUAUGAAAGUAUUUGGAAACUAAAUUUCAUAAUUUUUCGGUAUCAUUUACCUAUCAAAUGAGUAGGCUAAAAAUGAACGGCUAAAAAUGAAAAUCUCGUAAAAAAUGAUGAUAAAAAACUUGAAUUUAAGAUUAGAGGUACUGAUCUUACUCUAAAUAGUAAAAAGAAUUUUUUAUAAAAAUUUCAUCAGAUUUGGAUUGUUUUACACCGUGAAUUUAAAUUCACAAGCGUAUCACAUCUACCAUUAAUAUUGUCAAUUUUGAGACCUUUUGAUUACUAGUCAAAUGAUGUUGAGAAAUUAUAAAAUUUAGUUUCCAAAUACUUUUAAUGGUGUAGAUCAAGUCUAACGGAGCCGAUCGUUGAUUUGAAAGCCGCAUCAUUGAAAACAACUUGGCAGCACGGAGGCCUCCGUGCUACCGAUAGUAUANAGAGAGAGAGAGAGAGAGGGGGAGUGGAUGAGUGGUCCACAUGCGGUCCACGAGAACCAACCUUUCUCGUGGACCGCAUUUUUUGAGAGCGGCUGGGAGCAGCGUCUUUUGCUAGAGGUUUUCGUUUUCCGCCGACAGUGGGUGGAAAACGAAAACUCGUUUUUUUCGAAGAAUCCGUAAACAUUUUUUUUAUGAGCAACCAAACAACGGAAAACUACUUUUCAAGCGAAAAAAAUUUUCCGAGUAGUUUUACGGGGAACCAAACAUACCCUUACCCGUAAUGAGUCCUUUGACUGCCAAACUGCAGGAUCCUGAAUUCCUAAUUGUAUAUAGGUGCAUCUUUCUUUUUCAUCUGUACUUCACAAGCUCUAUUAUAUGCAUCUGUUAACUUUUCUGUUUCUCAGUGUUAUUCAUAACCAUGUCGAGUGCUUUUUGCCCCUCUUGUAGGCUAACUUCUGCCCUCCGAAACCAAUUCGUGGUGGUAUACCAAUAUGCUUUCCUCAAGUAAGGCUGCAUUUUGUUAGAUCAAUCAUUUCUUUAUGAUUCAUCAGACGUGUGUAUUUUGAAUACCAAGAAGUUACUCCCGAAUGCAGCUUGGGAAUCAUGGAACUCUUGAACAACAUGGAUUUGCUAGGAAUCAUCUUUGGACUGUUGAUGAGAACCCACCACCUUUUCCUGCACAUACAUCUACUAAGGCUUUUGUUGAUCUGAUUUUAAAGCCAUCAGAAGAAGAUUUGAAGAAUUGGCCUCAUAGGUCUGUUUUCUCUUAAAUGGGAUUUAGGGCUAAUCUUGUUCAUCACUGUGGGGAAAUUUAUUUAUUUAUUUAUUUUAAUUUUCUAGUUGUUACUUUACUUUCUUCUAAUUUUGUACAUAUUAAAUUUUUUCCUUUCUUUACUGAAUUCUGUUGCCAAUUCCUGGUGAUUGCAGUUAUGAAUUUCGCUUGAGAGUUGCCCUUGGACCAGGAGGAGAUCUGAUGCUCACGUCCCGCAUAAGAAACACAAGUACUGAUGGAAAACCAUUUCAGUUUACAUUCGCAUAUCACACAUACUUCUCUAUCUCAGAUAUCAGGUUUGCACAAGCUCGUUCCUUAUUUAUCACACAUAUAUUACUAUUUGGAAUCCUUAAAAAGUCCAGGAAUGAAAUACUUGCAUGAUGUGCUAAGUUUCCAUUCAUCACAAUUCAGCCAACCAGAGUUCCAACCAGAGUUCCAACCAGAGUUUCCGUGUGUAUGAAAUAUAUUUAGCCAUUGUUUAAGUACAUAUUAUGUUGUGAGCCUAUUUCUAUUUUUGAGCGUGACCUCGAAUGUUCCCUUCGUUUCUUGCUUUAGGACCUUAAUAAUAGUUGAUGUUUCAGUGAAGUUCGUGUUGAAGGACUGGAGACAUUGGAUUACCUUGAUAAUUUGAGAGAGAAACAGCGCUUCACCGAACAAGGAGAUGCAAUCAUAUUUGAAUCUGAAGUAAGUUGAGCCUGAUAUUCAAUAUGUUUGAAAUGGUUGAUAUGCAAUACUUACGCCAUUGAUGGCAUAGGUGGACAAAAUAUAUUUGGGCGCACCACCGAAGCUUGCCAUUAUUGACCAUGAAAAGAAAAGGACAUUUGUAUUGCGGAAAGAUGAUGGGCUUCCAGAUGCCAGUGAGCCUUCCCUCCUUCCCCCUCCUCUUUCCUCUUUUUUUUUUUUCUCUCUUGGUUAUUAUGGUUCUCAGUAGUCAUGCUAGACCUGAGUACAGCCUGGGUUGGUCAAGGAUCAAGAGAAAAUUGGCUGGCCCAAGUGCAACCCGCAUUGCGAACUAAAAAUUGGCUGCGCUGGGCCAACCCAAAAGUGACUGGGCUGGGCUGGCUCAACCAAAAACAUUGUAGCCCAAGUAUGACCUAAAUCUUCUCUAGCCUCUGUUUUUCAAACCUGAUCUGGUCUAAUGAACUGGAUUGGGCUGAACCCAGCUCAAAAAGCCGAGCACGGCGGUGCGGAUCUUUUUGCUCAGGUCUGGUCUUGCAGUUUCUGUUUAACCUUCAUCUUACACGACUUAUUGGUGCCUCUCUCUCUCUCUCUCUCUCUCUCUCUCUCUCUCUCUCUACAGUUGUAUGGAAUCCAUGGGACAAGAAAGCCAAGGUGAUACCAGACCUGGGGGAUGAAGACUACAAGCAUAUGAUAUGUGUGGGGGCUGCGGCGGUCGGUAAGUCGAUCACAUUGAAACCUGGUGAGGAAUGGAGAGGGAGACAGGAGCUCUCUGCCGUUCCCUCCAGUUACUGCAGUGGGCAGUUGGAUCCUCGAAAGGUUCUCGAAGGUUUAUUGUAACUCACAUCUCGCUCAGGUUACUUUUUCCCCUUAUAAUGCAUUAUAACUACAAACGUAACAAGUCGAUGAUUUAGGAUAAAUUCGGUUAUUGGCAAAAUUUCGCGAAAUUUAGUGCCCCCAGCCGUUAAGUUAAUUAUGUGGGCAAUCUACAGAUUUUUCAUAGCUUUUUAUGGUUAAUAGAUUUGUUGAAUUGCAGGGGCUCUUGCUGCGCUUUCUCUUCCUUUCUUGUCAUCGUCAUCAUUCAGUGUGUUUUGCGGGACAGCAGAUCCUCAGAGCUGGAUUAGUAAAUUCCGCGUUCUAAAGAACUUUCAUGGAGAGGGAUUUUUUUUUUUAACACCUCGCCCCGCUGGGCACAAAAUAGAGGGCUGUUGUUUGGCUCAUCUAUUUCACGCUCUUUUCGAUGCAUAUCAUCCUGUUAAUCUGAAAAUCAUCCGGGAUAAAGAAGAGGCAUUAUAAAGUGUUUUUUUUUUUUUUCCCUUUUUAUUUUAUCUGUGGAUGUAUUUCGUGUGCUUUUAAAGCCUUUUUGCUGUAAAAACUUUUAGACUGGUGUUUGAAUUUUGGUGUUGUUCAUUGGUACUAGUACAGAGUUUGGUGGUUUAUUGUGUUCUUUUAUAAAAUAGCAAGGAUGUAAAGGUCAACUUCAAAUUCGCCAGUAGAGGUCUAGUGCUUUUUCACUUUUUCAUCUUGUAAUUCAAAAUUUGCACUCAGCUACUCUGCCGUUUUGUUUUAUUUUACUGUAAACCAUGUCGUUAAUUACGGUAGUGAAGUGAUAUAUUUUGUAAACCACAAGAUAAUACAAUAAGAUAUUUUAUCGUCGUAUAAUCUGUAUAUUAUCGUUCUGCGGUCGUCAAAGAGAGUAUCAGUUUACUACUCUGCGCAGCGAUGGAUUCUUAGCCUGCAUUAUAGUUAAAUGUAACUGCUUGAACUGUAGGAUGACGAAGUCAAAAGAGCCAAAUUAAACUUUUCCCAAAAUGAGGAAACAAUAAAUCAUUUAUUCAACUAAAUUUCAAUUUUCUGGGAAAAACUACCAAAAUGACUUUCAACUAAAAGUUUCAAUGCUAGUUUGAAAUACAGUGUUCGAGCAUGACAUCUAACCAGAAUAAUAAAUAUACUUGUCCUAAAAGUUCAUGAAGUAUUUAUUUAUUUAACAUUAUUUGUUAAGCUAAGUGAUAAUCCGGAGUAUAAGUAUAACAAAAGCAAAGCAGCAGCAAGAAUAAGGCUUUGUUUAGGAUUGCGGGGAGAUUGCAUUAUGUGCGGUGAGAAAGUGUAAUAUUACGUUCCGCAUAUCGCGAUGAAUCGAUUACGAUAUAUUUUUCUGCGGUCCUACCGGAGAACGCAGAAACAUAUUCCCAUAUGCUUUUUCCUCAACUCCAUUUUAUCUAAUAGCGUUAGAUAGAUUUUAAUACCAAACUAAGAGCAAAGGUGACUGA
Molecule: long non-coding RNA, 74939 nt
Filed under: Ananas comosus (pineapple)
Lineage: Eukaryota; Viridiplantae; Streptophyta; Magnoliopsida; Poales; Bromeliaceae
Description: long non-coding RNA (ACOM_LNC028559)
Source: RNAcentral